CCCAACUAAACAAGGCCCUAAUUCUCUAGAAAAGUAGCAUCAGUUCAAAGCUUGCAUAUCAUCACAGAUACUAGUAACAGGGCAUACGCCAAAUAAUACUGCACAGCUGAUAGUUAACCCCAAGGAUUUAUAACUUCAGAUACUUCGGCAUACAGAUAGCAGCGAAAUUAACAACCAGGAAUCAGAGAACAUGUUCCCAAACCCCAAUUUUUACUAAGGGGCUGUUUGGAUAUGAGGUGCUAAACUUUAACAGUGUCACAUCGGAUGUUCGGAUGCUAAUUAGGAGGACUAAAUAUGAGCUAAUUAUAAAACUAAUUGCAGAACCUUGUGCUAAUUCGCGAGACGAAUCUAUUAAGCCUAAUUAAUCCAUCAUUAGCAAAUGGUUACUGUAGCACCACAUUGUCAAAUCAUGGACUAAUUAGGCUUAAUAGAUUCGUCUCGCGAAUUAUACUCCAUCUGUGCAAUUAGUUUUGUAAUUAGCUUAUGUUUAGUACUCCUAAUUAGCAUCCAAACAUCCGAUGUGACAGGUGUUAAACUUUAACAGGGGUUUCCCAAACACCCCCUAAGACAUAAACGCAGUGGUAAACAAUAUUAGUUUACCACAACUAUGACGACACAGACACUGAAAUUAACACGACACGAUACAGACGGUAAACUGCAGGGACUGUAGUCAGGCAGACAGGCAAGAACACAUGUUCACGCGCGCACGGUUGCCCCCUCCUUCACUCCUUCGCGGUCUUGUUGAUGAGGGACUUGUGGAUGUGGGGGAUGACGCCACCGCCGGCGAUGGUCCCCUUGAUGAGCGUGUCCAGCUCCUCGUCCCCGCGGAUGGCGAGCUGGAGGUGGCGCGGGGUGAUGCGCUUGACCUUGAGGUCCUUGCUGGCGUUGCCGGCCAGCUCCAGGACCUCCGCGGUCAGGUACUCCAGGAUUGCGGCGGAGUACACGGCGGCGGUGGCGCCGACGCGGCCGUGGGCGGAGGCGCGGGACUUGAGCUGGCGGUGGAUGCGGCCCACCGGGAACUGCAACAAACACGGGGGAAAUUUUAGUGCGAAAUUCGAAGUUGCGCAUCUGAAAUUCGCAGGGAGAAACCACAGAUCUGACUAAUUCGCGGGUGAUGAAUCCAAAAGACAGCCGAAGAAGGGGAAGAGAACCUGGAGGCCGGCGCGGGAGGAGCGGGAGACGGGAGCCUUCUUCUUGUCCUUGUCCUUGUCGGUGCUCUUCGCCGCCGUCGUCUUCGCCGCCAGCAGACCCUUACCUCCCUUGCCCGCCAUCGCCGCCGGAAAACCUGGAGAGACCGCUCGGGCUUGGUCGCUUGGAGAUGCGCUGCGAGGGUGAGGCCGGCCGGAUGCGGGAGGGGAUUUGCUGGGUCUCGAGAAUACUUCCUGUUCAAUGCGGGUGCACACUGCAGAGGGCUUUAAACGCUAGGCGCACUGGAACUUUUCGGCUCGAUUUUGAAACCGGUGGGCGGCGGCGGGGAGCGCGCGCUUUGCGUUUUCGCGGCUGACGGGGCGUGAAAAAUUUCGCGGCCGGAUCGAGGGGGUAUACUGGGCUGGCCGGCUGGGCCGUUUGCAAGGGUUGCUCACUGUCACUGGUCUGCAGUUGUCACUGACAUGCGGACCCGGGUCCAUAUGUCAGUGAGACAGUUACCAAGUAGUAUGUCAGGCGAGUCUCGACCUAGCGAACAUAGCUGAUUUUUACGGUCCCUUAUACACUCCUCUGCGCAUGGUCAUUCUCCGACCAUGUUUAACUUUUUUUUCUUUUUAUUAAUUUUUUUUCUAGAUAUUUCCUUCCUGAUUCCGCAAGCCAAACCGUCCAUAUUUUUUCAUCGACUAAUCAUUGCCCCGCGCGCCGUCCACCGAUAAGAGCUGUCUUUGGAUAUUAGCGCAAUUUUUUCACACACCUAUUCUCUUUCUCUUUUUAUUUUCAUUCCUUUUUCAUAUACCUAUGUGCCAUCCCACCAGUCCGCCCGUGGUUUUAGAUUUACUAAUCCUUCCCCGCGCCCGCCUCCCACCGCCGAAAGUCAUUCUUAACCUUUAGCACAAAGUUCUCCCGCGCAAUGCGCAUUUCUCGUUUUCACUUUGAACUUGGUGGGAAGGGAGUGAUGGAGUGUCCGCUUGGCAUUUUACACGGUUGGUGGAGCCUCAAGUCUUUUUCAACAAACUAACCGUUACCUCGCGCACCAACCCUCCAAUGCUGAGGUCAUUUCCACGGGCACCAGCAACAGGGGUAGCGGGUGCGGGCAGUGGAGAUGGCAACAGGUGAGGGGCUAGGAUUGAGGAGAUGAGACGCAUCCAACGGCUGGAGCAACCUGUACAGAUCUCCAACACCGAAAGCCCAAUAGUAGAUGGGCUUACGAAAUUUAUAUGGUGCUUUCUCUCUCCCUCCCUAUCUCUCGGGCCAGUUAAUUUCCCGGCAGAUGGGCUGGCGUCAGGACAUUGCCAGCCCAUCAUUAUUGGGCUGGCCCAGCGUAAUCCCGGCCAGCUGGGCUUCGGGACACGGGUGAAAAACGAAGAAGUGACACCCACCUUUCUUCUUCUCCCAAGCUUUUAACAUGUGCAGGCUCCAUAUAAAAUAAAAUACGCUCCGGUUACGUGUUGGCGUCGUGAUGAGUUGACGAUGAAUCUUAUUCUCCUGACUUGCCAUUGGAUAUAUCUUUUUCGAAAAAAAAAGAUACACAAUACUAAACUUUAGCACUCCAUUUGAUACAGUAAUAAAGUUUAGCACCUUGGGUGAGAAAUGACUACAUUGACCUCAUUUAUGACUGGUUUGGGGAAAAGUGGAGAGGAGAGAGAGAGGACAACUAGGGAAAAAUUGGGCUUGGGACCACUUUUAGCACUAUUAGCAAGUUUUAGCAUCCCUUGGAUGUGAGGGGUGUGCUAAACUUUAGCACAUCACUUUUAGCACACAUGUUUGGAUGCACAAGUGCUAAAAGUGUGCUAAAAAUGUUGUGCUAAAAUUUAGCACCAUGUAUCCAAACGGGCCUUAAACCAUUUAUGGGCGGAACUAUGGCUUGCAAAGUUCUUAACCUAUCCGCCAUAUGCACGUCGUCCUUUGUCAAAACCUCAUCUAAGGUACGUAAGCGAACUGCUAGCCACGUCACAGGCAUGCUUUAAUUUGUAAUAAAAAAGAAGACAAUCUGUGAAAGAAGAACGACAAAUAUGUCCUUACUGCACUAUCAGUACAGUUGAUGAUGGACCAUAUAUAAUGGCUUUGGUUCUGUUCUAAACGGCGGAUCGGAAUUGCGAGGCAGCAAGCAAUUGGUGCCAGUACACCUGGUCAUCGUGCGUACUGUGAUGAUGUACUAGCGGUCUAGCGCACAGCUGCUCAGCCAUCUGACACGAUCAGCAGUGCCGACGCGAGAAAUGGCGGGCACACGCGCAGAGGCGCGGGCAGGUCCACGGAGCAGCGGGAGAGCGUACACAGCCGUGGGCCGCCACACAGCUGCAGGACGCAUGUUGUUACGUGUUGGGCGGAGACGGACGGACGAGAACUUUGUACAAUCUAUAAUGCAGCGUGUGUGUACUGUGGAGAAGCUCGAACUCCCAACGUUAUACGCGUGGCGGACUGGCGGUACACGGAUGGAUAGCGCAACCUCUCCUCGAGUCCUGCAUGUUUUUUUGGCAUGCAUAUGUGUCUGUCCGAUCGAGAUCGAUGGACCUCAGGACAGUUGGUUCUAUAACACUGAAAGUUGAGGAAAAUACCCCUGUAAAAUACGAUUAAAAACUGUAAUUGUAAAUUGAAACUAGCACUCUUAGAUUUUGCACAAACGGUGUUAGUGUUAAACGGGAUAAAAGUAUCCCUGACCUAUCAAUGUUGAUUGGAUACAUCAGAUUGUGUUUAUGCCUUCGAUUGAAAAGGGAAGAAGUAAUAUCAAUGAAGAAAAGGCAGUGACCUGAGCUGAGGAAGGGAAGGACAAACAAUGUCCAAGAAUCGUCCCGCAGUCAACCUCCAUUAUUUACCGGCAACAAAGAAAUAGAGGGAAGGAAGAGGACAAGCUCAGAAGCAAAGAAGAUGAGAUGACAUCUAGAAGCCGCACGACAGGAAUCUUGAGGUGCGUCUCCAGGGCAGCAACUCGUGGUGAAGGCAUGCGCCCGUGCGGCUGCAGCUUCUGCGUGUAACAUCCCUGGUGUUAAUUAGGAUCAUAAACAUUUUAAUUAAACAAAUAAAUGUAUCUAAUAAUUUUUGUUAGCAUGUGAGCACAUGUGGCCAUGAUUUAUCUUAUAAAAUGUGAUUAUUAACAUGUUUAUGUUAUCUUUACAACUAAAUAUAAAUUAAAAGUAUAAAUAUGAAAACUAUGAAAUUUUGCUCAAAUAUAGUUUAAAAUUUUAAAUGCAUAAUUAUUGACUCAUGAACAUGUCUAAAUCCCAAAAUAAAAUCAAAUUCCACAUUUACACGUGUUUUCUGGAAAAUUCUAAGUGUUGAGGUCAUUUUAGCCUUGUUCGAGUGUUGUUAAAAUUUUAUUUUGCCUAAAUACUUAACUUUGACCAAGUACAAGAUUGGUAGUCCUUAUCUAGUUUCCCAUGAGUAUAAGCUUGAUCUGUGAAAACAUUGUUUGAUUGUUCAAAAACACCGUGAAACUGUGGUCCGCCUCAUGUUUUCAGCUUUACCCUGAAAAUGGCCAAGUCUCCCAUUAAAUUUCGAGCUCACGGUCUAGAUUUCGAGCCUGUUAACUUUGUUUCUGCCUAAGGACGUGACCCAAACUUAGAUCGAAAAUGGAUUGUUCUCUAUGUGUACCUUACAUACGCACAAUUUUGUUAACUUUGGAUCACGUUUGGGCCUUCAAAAGAAAAUCAUUUUUAAUGUUGCAUAGUCCAAAUGGAAACCCUGGACGAUAACUCUGAACAUUCAGUAGGGGCCGAGUUUUUGCCAAAUUUCGGGGUGCUGGACCUUCCAAACCACGAAUCAAAUCACCAUAGAACCUGUAGCAAAGUUGUAACUCUAAGAUCCAUCUCCAACAUUGGUUAAGAAAGAUUGUCAAAUUCCUACACGAAAUCACGAGAGAAUUCUAUCCAAAAUCAUUGACUUUACAUGGCCUAGCUGUCUACUAAAUCAUUCUGUCGGUCAAGCUCAGAACGCUGUCCGGCGAUGCGCGACGCGCAGCGGCCACAGUUCGCCGGUGGCCGCGCCGAAGUCAAGUCGUCGCUCGUGCCGUGGCCUCCCUCCACACGCCGUCGCCUCCACCUCGCCGUGCGACUGCCCAUGCCGCGCCCACGCUUUACCCAUGCGACGACUAGCGCCAGUCCGCUGACCGCCACUGCUCGCCCGUCCUCGCCGUCCCCGUCCUUGCCCAUUGCUCGGCGUCGCAUCGCCACCUGCUCCGCCCGGCCAUACCGUGGCCCAUGCCGCGACCGCUCGCGCCGGUCACGGCGCUGCCGCCGCGCAAGCGCACGGUCCGGCCGGCCCCUCCUCGCCCGUGCCGUCUCUGCUCGACAGCGCACGGCCGCCUUGCCUCGGCCUUAUCUUCCCAAGCCGCUGCCGCAAGCCUCUCUCUCCCGCUGUUCUUUCUCGCAUGAGCGAGCAAGCAGCUGCGGCCAAGCCAUCUCAGGUCCUCUGCUCCUCCCUUGCUCGAGCAGAGCAAGCAGACCAGCGCCCCUCUCACAAGCUCCAUCCCCUUCUCUGAUUUCCUCCACCAAGCAGCUGCUCCCCUCUUCCAUGCUGCACGAGCUAGCAGCUUGAGCUCUUCGUUGUUCUGUCCAGCGAACAAGACACCACCAGCAGCAGCACACCCCAGCGCCGCACAGCCGACGAGCCCAGCUUUGCCUCUGCCCGAGGAAGAUGCCAACCGAGGCUGCAUCCACGACACCAAGUGACCUGCUACCUCUCCGUCAAGCCACAGCUGCCAGGACGCCGACGACCCUGCUUGCCAUGACAUUGCCUUCCUCGUCUACAACCCGUUUGCCAGCCGGCGUCAUCUCCUAUUUCUACACCAAGCUGCACUUGCCUGAGGUCGCCUUCAUUCACUUCGUGCUUGGUGAGCAUCCUCCCCAUCUUUUCCCGUGUGGCCAAACUGACCGUUUAGCCCAGCUCUUUUCUGUGACCCGUCUGUGAAGGAGAUGAGCAGUACAUGCUAGGACUAAGCUUUGUAGCUUGUACAUGCAUGUUUAGGUUCUUGCAAGAUUGAUAGGAGCGUAAGGCUAGGUCCUUAAUUCAUGAAGCAUGACAUGUAGCUGUAUGAUAAUUUUGCUCUUUGAUCUGAAAAUAUGGCGAAGCAUACUAGAGCUGAUUCCAGGCCUUGAAUUGGAUGUGGUGCUUAUGCUCAAUUAACUCGUUUCAAAUAAUGACACAACUGAAUAUGGUGCAACGCUACUUUUGUUAGUCUGCAUAUCUGUCGUAAAAUCAUGGGAAAACAUAUGCACUCAUGAAACUGAUAGUUUUCAUAUAUUCAGAUCUAACUGAUAAUUAUUACCCGGUUGGAUUGUCCUUGUAACAGAGAAUGCAUUUGAAAAUCUAAAGGGCAGGAGACAAACUUUGAUGGUUUCAUUCCUACCUGACAAAAACAUGUGUAGUCAUGAAAUAACUGUUGCAGUAUUUACACAUGCUCCAGUUAGUUGAAGCUUACUGAACUUGUAAAACUCAGAGAACUUUCAUAUCAGUUCAAGUUAAUAUCUACCUUCUACCUUUUCAAUUGCUACACAUCUUGAUCUGGUUUUGAGCAGGUAGCAAUCCUUUCCCAUGAGUUGGACUUAUUAGAUCAUCAAAUUCACCACUUGCCAAAAUUAGUCAAACUGACCCUGCAUGCUCUCUGUUUUCCUCUCUGACAAACCAGAAACAUAUAUACUGACUACAUCAGUAGUUUUUAUUUUUCCAUUAGAAUAUGUAAAUUUUAAAUUAUUGCCAUGCAUCUGAAAACAAUAUCCUGAAUCCCUGCCAUGUGCAUUGUUUUAUGUCUGAACCUGCUAGUUGCAUCUUGCCACAAUCUGAUGUUAUGGCCCUGUUGAACAAUAAAAGUAAUUGACCAAGUCGCAAUAUAAAAUAAAAGGGAGGCUUGCAAUAUAGCUACAAAUAGCUAAAAUGUACAAAAGAAAACUUAGUAUGUUUUUCUCUAUAAAUGAAAUAAUUUCAAAUUGAUUUGUAUGUCCUUUUAUGUUGUUGGCUUGCAACUUUAUCGUGAAAGAAAUACUUCUGACAAGAUACUAAACAAAUCUGAUCAUCACUAGCAACAACCACGCUUCCUGGUGCAGUUAGUUUAGCUUAAUAAUUGGUAAUCGCUAUUGUAUGAAAACUUCAAAAUGUUACACUCUUUGCAUGCAUAGUUCUCGUGUUUGGCUUGUGCUCUGUUAGCUCGCGUUAUCAGUGACUUGCAUCUCAUUCAUGAAAUUUCGCGUAGGCACCGCUACUGACGACGUGGAGUACGAGCUUGUGGCUGUGGAGCAGGCGUAGCCGCGAAGUCCGGAAGGAGUAUCCAAAAGGUCCGGCCCAAGAUCCGGAAGGGGCUUAAUGCCCAGUUGACACUAACUCUACCGUUUGGGAGGCAAACUUCGGAGCAUAAUCCUUACUUUUAAAAUUAUACAGUGUCCUUAUUUAUAUAUCUAUGCAUUUACGUGCCUGGUUGUUGAAUGAAACUAUAGAUGCACGAUUCCUAGGAAUCCCAAAUUAAAUACUAGUAUGUGUAGGUCGAAGAAAUGCCAUACUUAAUUAAGAAUGGUAGAAGCUGAGUGAUUGCCUGUCAUUCGCGAGAUUAGGUUCAUUUACUUGUAUGGUUAAAACUGAAAUGAAUGGUUCACAUCAGAAAUUGAGAAUGAAUCAACGAGAAAGGAAAAAUGGAGAUCGUGCGGAGAUGAGUUGGUUAAGGAUAUGAAAGGGUACCUCCGCCUGUGUCGAUUAAGGUUCAUCUGUCGUUGGCCCUGUUGAUCGAGUUUGAAUUGUACUAUCCAUGUACCGGAAGUAAGAAGUAAUUGAAACUGGUAAAAUCUAGUACCAUAUUGCACGAUUGUAGAUUGAGUUAGUCCUGUUUUCUAUUCGUGUUGUGUGCUAGUCAGUAACUCAUGUCUGACUCGUGGAGGUACCAGUGGGCAUUAGUACUCGAGGGUCGCAAGAGUUCUCAAAUGCUAUCACUCUCUAAAAGAACCGUUUGCUAUAUGCGGCUCGACGGGAUAUGCAUAUAUCGUGUGUAUAGGUCCAGCUUGCAAGGUUGUAAAAUCGGAUCGAUUCACUGCCGCUCUCGAUUAAGACAACCUUUAUCAUGAUGUCACAUCGUAGUAUGAAGUGGAAUGAAGAGAAGUAUGAAUGUGGAUGAUGUUGUUGUCUAAUCAAUUUUUUUCUACACUGAAAAGCUUGCUCACUUAGAAUGUUUAAGUUCAACUUUAAAUUGGAUGUAAAGUAAGGAUCCACCCUUAGUUGCUUUUUGGCAAAACAAAUCUCUCAGCCAAAAACCUUGCAUGCUAGGAGUCGGUUAAGUAUAUACCAUAGUCGGGUAAGUCCUGCAAGUAUUAGUGUACUCAGGGUUAUUAUUAUGACCUCUUUGUCAGGAGAUGACGCUUCUCCGUGAUGUCAUAUCGGUGGGCUCGAUGCGAUAUCUUUUUCUCGACAUCGUUGGUGCUUGUGUAAAUAGACGAUCAACUUUUGUUUCUCAAAUUUUACUUCCGACGUGCCCUUAAAAUCUUUGUAUUAUUCUUAUAUUGAACUCUGGUUGUAAACUGUUGUAUCGUCCUUGUGAUGCAUCUUUUGUUUUGAUGUAAAAUCUGGUAUGUUUGUAAUAUCUGCGCUUACUUUCACGUGAUACUAGUGGUGUAUUGUUUCGAUCGAGAUAUUUAGUGGUUGCAUCGGGCUUCCCGACAAAUUGACAUAUUACACCAUUUUAACCAUUAAGAGGAUGGUUAGCGAAUUGAAGACGGUUUAAUUUGGACGGUUAUGCCACACUGCGCUGUUGCGCGCGCCGCGGAUUCAUGGCCCAGGACGGCAGCGCUCGUGCUCGCUCACGAUGAGGGCAGUAUGCCCAGCAGAUAGCUCGCGGGGAGGACGGUGUCGCUGGUGGGAGAGCCGGAGACGGGUGGCGGCGCCCCCGGGGGGGGAGGGGUGGCGGUGCCGCGAGUCGCACGAGGGGAGCACGGUGAGGAGAGGAGCGACGCCUGCAUCGGAUCCGUGAGCGGGCGGAUAAGGCAGGAAUGGAUCCCUCCCAUGGAUAUGAGUCAAGGGUAGAAACAUCAUCUCACGUCCGUUUAUAUUUGUCAAACAGAUGAAAAUAAUUUUUCGGUACAUAAAAUGUAACGGAAUUGUAAUUUCAAGUAACAUUUGUAUUGGUAUUUUACGAAACGAUAUUUUUCGGUGGUAUUUUCCGAAAGUCACCAUCUAUAAACGCCCUUGAUCUCUGACGCAACAUGCACGCUCUCGUUUCGUGCGGGGUGCUGCGUUUCAUCGUAGUACUAUACCUAACACUGGUAGAGAACUCGGUAUUAGUCCCGGUUGGUAGGAUACAAAUUUUCUAAAAAUCCAUCCGGAAUAAACCAACCGAGACAAAAAUGGGGUCUUUUGCCCUGCCAGGCGCUGCAAAAAAAAAAGAAAUCCCGGGAGAGCCCCCCACAGGUCACGCGAUUUUUCACGCGAAAUAUGCGCGUGCGCGCUGCGUGGGAUUCGAACCCACAACUUCCAGCCUCGCGCGUAGCUUCCUUGCCAUUCCACCUACACAGAACAUCUAACUAUAUAGGGGAUGCAAUCCUUUUGUAUUAACUCGUAGGGGACCCUUUUAUCUCGGUUGGUAUUACAAACCAGGAUAAAAGGCCUCUCAGGGUCUUUUUUUUCCACUAGCCUUUGCAACCGGGAUAAAAGGUCCCAGUUGAUGAGCCCCCCACCCCACCAGUGACCGAGCUUUAGUCCCGGUUGGUGAACCUUUUGUCCUGAGCCAACUUUAAACCGGGAUAAAAUGAGGCGCAUGGAAGGUGAAUUCUCUAAUGGUGUAAGUAGGAGCCAGUACGUACACGUACCGACGUACGUACCAGCAGCUGCCAAGCAACUAAGCAAAGGCAGGGUUGCACGAUCACACGAGCGCACGUACGCGCGCUGCUGCAUGCAAAUACACGGCGGUCGCGGCGCGCGUCGAUCCGUACCUGCGAGGGGCGCAGCACAACACAUGGGAUCAUGCCAAUGUCAUGGUGCGUCGGAGUUCGGAGCGGCCGGCGCGGCGUCCUCGUUGGGGUGCAAUGCAUGCAUGGGGAGAAACGCCUCGAUGAAUGGGACGCUUUGCUGCAACGGCAGAAGAACAAGAACCUGGUGAGGACUCCAUAAUAAGACCAUACAGCGUGCCAGCAUUUGUUUUCUACGGGAAAAAUCGAUAGAUGUGAGAAUUCUGCCGGCAGGGUCAACAAAAAGGACUGAUUAUUUUAUUCGUGGUUGUUGGUCAGUGCACCGAAUGUGUAAGAUCACGUGCACGUGUAAAUCACCUCACGGAGCUCCUGCCUUGAAGCCGGUAAAAUCGGUUCAGGAGCGCCCUGAAAACAUAGAGAAUCACCGUCUCAGAAGAGAUCCCGUCAUAAAUAAUGCGUCUAUGAUUGCUCUAAGAUUAGCAGGUCACUUAGAACCUUCACUCAGAACCUCCUCAACCGCCGUAGAGAUGAAGAAGGAGAAGCAAAAGGGGUUGGAAAAGAUUAGAGUUGCAAAUAAAAGUAAAGCUAUUAUUGAUUGAUCGACUGGAUAAAUCCUGAAUCGGCCGUGACCUUUUAUAUUUAUAAGGUGGGGAGAUUUUUGCACCAUAAGAAAAAUCUUUUAAAAGUCUUAAUCUACAAGGAUUUCUCAAUUCUACUCGACUAAGAUUGGAUCAGUCAGAUCGCCUCUACAGACCGGUUCGUAUUACCAGACCGGCUACGGGACCAGGACCGGUCAGAUUGCCUUGACAAACCGGUCUGACCGGCUACUCUAAUCAUAUCAAGUUGAUGCCAAUUUUGACCACUAACACAGUGGCUUAUGGCUUAAAAUUAUUGAGUAGCCAUGUCCAUACAAUCUGGUGACGACGCGGUUGGCGUGCUUGGUUUUAAUUUGAACGGCCAAAAAUGCGAGGUAUGCAGAGGCUGCUGGAAUCGUGGCAGUACACCUGGUGAUGCGUACUGUGAUGUUGCACUAGCAAGCACAGCUGCUCGUCGUCCAUAUCUCCGACACACGAUCAGCAGUGGCAACGCGAGAAGCGGUGGGCACACGCGCAGAGGCGCAGACUGGUCCACGGAGCAGCGGGAGAGCGUACGGCACAGCUAGCGCGAGCGAGAUGCCAGUUGAUGCAACUAACGUACUUGAACAGUUGAACCCAUCUAUCACUCUAGCAGCAGUUCCCUAUCGACUAUUGAUUUGUUUUGUUAAUAACUCGCUUGCUUGCAGAUUAUUGAUUUGUGUGACGAAACAUCGGAGUACUACCUUAAGUAGAAGCCAGUACGUACGUACAGGGAGCCAGCAGCAUGCAGGGGUCAUAACGAUCGGUCGACCACACACACACACACAAGCGCACUGCGCACGUACCUGCUACAUGCUGCAAUGCGAUACACGGCCGGCCGGGCCGGGUUUGCAUCGAUCCGUACGCGCGCGCAUGUGAGAGGCGCGGCCGAGGCAGGCAGGCACGGCAUGAUGAGGCCAUGAUGCCUUGGAGCUCGGGGCGGCCGGCGCGGCGUCGUCGGGGGGCAUCGGACAUGCAUGCGUGGGCCGCCCGGCACAGUACACGCAGUCCUAUGCGUUGCAUUGCAUGCACACGCACGCACUGCACGUACGCGCGCGUACCGGCCGGCCGCAUGCCACCGCCGGUGCCGUGUACGUGCAGCGCCUGCCGCGCGUGCAUGCACAUGCACAUGCACAUGGGACGUACGGCGCAGGUGGUGAGGUCUCCUCCGUCUCUGAUUGAGGAGACGGUGUGUAUACGGCAGCACAGAGACGACUGAGAGGGAUCGAUGAUGAUCGGAGGACGGAGAGUGAAACCGGCCGGGGUCCGGGCGUGGGGACGUGGGGGUGAUGCGAGGAGGCAGAUCAGUAUCAGACCCGCGGCUCUGCAUGCUAGACCGAUAGGACGGCGGCCGGAUAGCUAGCUGCUUUCCUCCGUGGCUUUGCUUGGACAGAUGUGGCCAUGCACGGCUUGGCCAAAUUUGGGGCCAUCUGCCUAGCUAGCUAUGCAUGCCACGCAUAUGAAGCAUGCAUGCAGAAGGGCAGCAGCGGUGACGAUCAGCGCUCAGCGGCAUCGAUGAUCCAUCGAUCGGUGCUUGGCGCCAUGCACUUAAAGAUUCUGGAUCUGUCCAUGAUUUCGACUGAUCCCCCCCCCCCCCACCCCCCCUCUCUGGAGCUGGUGCAGGGCCGACGACGCAGACGCCUCAGUGGCCAGCAACGCUCCUCCUUCUCUCUCUUUCGAUUGCAAUAUAAUGCAAGUAUAUGAUAGAUCGUCGUAGUUGGACGAUACCACGACCUACUACUACUAAUCUACUGCUACACAAGCACAAAGCUGUGCCUGUGAUCCAGCUGCGCGCGCGCCGUCGCAGGGCAAAGCAAAAGGGGUUGUUCAUGUAUUCCAAGAAAGAUCGAUGUGGACGCAUGCUCACAUUCCGUCCUGAGCUCAUCACGCGUCACCCUCCUCCUGCACCCCCGGGCCCCAGCCCGGCUCCUAAAGACCUCGUCAAUUGCCUGUAUGCCGUAUGCACUGAGUGAUCUAGCUCCUAUCGUUCACGUGAACCUUCACAGCUCUCUCUCUACCUCUGGUGUGGUCUGACGGGUAUACUGUUUAUGCAGUCGUAUCUGUGUGUGUGAGAGAGAGCGGUGCCCCAAGUCCAAACCGUUUGGUGGACCAACAAGAAGUUUUUUGAGAACAGCGCCAUCUUUGAACUCAAUUUGUUUUCUAUUAUUUUCAAAUAAAGAAUUCUUAAAAUGUGAUGGCCAUCCAGUUUCAUAUAUUUUCAUUUUCAAAAAAAUAAUUAGUAUUUAACAUGUUUCUACCCCUCCGUCACAAAUUGUAGGGUCGUUUCGUUUCAACAUUCUAGAGUCAUAGAUUUUGCUAUACACCUAGAUAUAUAUUAUGUCUGAAUAUAUAAUAAAUGCUAUGAAUCUAGAAAUGAUGGAACGAUUUAAAAUUUGGAACGGAUGGAGUAUGUUGCACAUAUUUGUCAUUAGAAAAAAACAAACCCAAAGUACACCAUUUUGGAUACUUCUAAAUUACGCCCUGCUACCGUAAAUGAUUAAAAAUAGCCAAAAAUAUCCGUAAGAAAAAAAAUAAGUAAACCAUAGGCACUUCAUACAGUUCUUUUUUAUCUAGAUAUAUACUAAAAAUAUUUCAGACCCGUGCAGCGGUACUGCUAUUUGAUGGACCACUGGUAUAUCAGGCUUAUCAGCAUGAAGUAACUACAUCCACGAAGUAUAGUUACAUAAAAGUAAAAAAAGGUAAAAAAAACUUUUGCUUCUGAAAGUCUCGAGAGUACGCACAAGGGCGAUGGGCCCUAGUCUUUGCAGCUACACAAUGUAGCGCCGCAGAGGCCAGUGGUAGCUGGGAUAGUAGUGACGAAAUAAGCUUCGUCAUGUAGCUUGCUGCACUUGCUGCUUUGAGCUGCACAGCACUGGAUCAGAGUGCGCUGGACCCCCGGCUAGCUCCGCAAUCGUUAAACCGACCUCUUUUUGUCUCUGCUACCCUGAUACAGUGCAGACUGCGCACUAAUGCAGUCGUUCUCCCGUCUCAAUCUCAAGUAUAUAGAGUAUCUAAUAUAGUCUCAAAUGCAGGAUGCAAUGUAAUGGCCAAUAAUGCAUAUGGAAAGGAGAGUAUGCGCAGCACACGUCGUCGUUCUCAUUGCCUCAUUGGAAAGAGAUGAUGAUUGGCCAUUUCAGUUCACAGCCCUGGAUGGUGUGUAGCAAUUCAAUAUCUUUACCACAGGCACGCACGCACGCAUGCGUAUAGCAGGAGCGAGGCAGCAGCCUGAUGUAACUGAAGCUGGCACACACGCAUCGUGACGAUCAUUGACGACGACUCUCCCUUGCAUUGGAGACCAGGCAGAUUCAGAUUAUUCAGGAGUACACACACAGAUACCCAUCAGCUCAGCUGAUAGCUAGCAUAGGUAACGACGUAGCCCUGCCAACUGCCAUCCCAUGUGUACAGUACGCCGAGCUGUCAGCGUCGUCACGCAACGAUCAUGCAUGCAUAUUGUAGCCCUAGGGAGUGGUGCACCGUUUCCCUGCUGCGAAGGGGAUCGUGAACGUACGCGUCCAGGGCCUCACUGACUCGACUACUGUUACGCUGCUGGCCAACCAUUCCUUUGGCGACGUCACUCUGACCCUGCUUACGUACAGCUACGUGCCUACGUCCUGCUACUGUUCCGGUAGAGAGAGAUGUACACGAUGCUUACGCCUUCACUAGUUCACUGGCACGUUGCAGUUCUUGUAGUUGUAGUUCUUAAAAAAAGAUAAGUUCUUGUAGUUGUAGCAAUCUAGCUGACCGUUGCUUUGCUUCGUCUGUUUUGCAUGCGAGCAUGUGAAGGCCUUGAAUUGUCCAUAGGGUAUGUAGUUGCAAGGAGUCUUCAUUCGACUCGUCGUCCAUGUUCUCUUUUGGAACGUUUAUGAGCACGAUCGACGACCUGAUCGAUCGAGCCGAGCGCGUAUGUGUUUACGNNNNNNNNNNNNNNNNNNNNNNNNNNNNNNNNNNNNNNNNNNNNNNNNNNNNNNNNNNNNNNNNNNNNNNNNNNNNNNNNNNNNNNNNNNNNNNNNNNNNUGUGUGCAUGGCCUGCCGUCUGCCGAUGAAAAGUGUCAUACGUCGACUUCGUAGAUGGAACUAAAGAGUGCAGCUAGCUCAGGUAGUAUCAGACGACGCAGAGACGAUCGAGUUGUAACUUGUAAGAAUAUACAUAUCGUAUAUCGAUCAGGUCCAUGUCCAAUUGAAAGAGCCAUAUACAUGUACGAAGUAAUUUUAAAAAUAUCACUUGUUUACAGGAUAGAGUAUCCGAGAAAAUUCAGGAGAAAUGGGCUGCUCGGUCGAUGUACCUUGUUGACAAGGUGACGUAUCAAGGUACAGUAGGGUGUCCUGUCCGUUAGCAGUUACUCAAACAGUCUACAGAACAAGGUCGACCUGAGUAGUCUACAGUGUACAUGUGUAGAUGAACCUGUAUAGCGCCAUGGUCAGAUCAGUAGUGCGCAGUACGCCUGGUUCAAAACUCUGCUAACACAGAUGUGGCGAAACAAUCCAUUGCCUUCACUCUCGCCUUGAUCUGAAAAUGGUUAUUGGUAAUUUGGUACAAUGGUACUAGUCCUCAACCCGUGGGCUAGCAUGUGCUAACAGCUUUGUCAAAAUAUACAUAGAUAAUAAUAGGACACUUGUAUGAAAUGCAUAUGUUUUAAGACUUACUUCUGUGCAUAUACUAACAAUGCUUUAUUAGCCUCGUGCAAAGUCAACAAUAAUAUUUUUAAACAUACUACACAGAUAAUAUACUUUUAUGAAAUGCUUAUAUAGGAUUUAAGAUUUAGGUGUAACUGGCUAUGUAUACCGAGUAAGAGCCUUGUGCAAAGUUACAUUUUCUUAGUUUGAACUCAUAUUCAUGACAGCAUUCAUCAAUAUGAAACAACGUAAGACACUAGUAUUUUGCAUCUGUUUUUUUGUUAUAGUGGUAUAUAUGAGUAAUUUCGAUGCAGGUAUUUUUGUUUGUUAGGUUAGUUUUCUAUGAUAAUAGAGGUGUGUGAUUUAUAAUCCGUCAUUGGAGGUACUACAAGUUAUUUUUUCUAAUGGUACAUAUAGGUAAUUUGAAGCAUGAAUUUAUGAUAAUAUGAGUUUUUUCUAAAGAUAUAGGUGAGUAAUUGAGGAGAAGGUAUUGCAGGUACUUUUAGCUAUUUUUUCUGUAGUGGUGGCAUAUGUGGGUAUUUUAAAAAUAUCUCUAUGAGUAGUUUGGAUUUUUUUUUCAUAUAAUGGUAACGGGUAAUAUAUAGAGAAUUUUCUAUUUAAGUCAACAUGGAUGCAGCCCAUCAUAAUGAUGGUUGGACCACUAGAAAAAUGAGUAGUCAGAUGGUUUUUAAAAAUUAGUGUGCAAGCUAAAAGGGACCUCAGUUGCUAAUCAGUAAGAUACCAAAAAUUUGGAAGUCAAAUAUCAUUUAAAAUAAUUAGCAUCUUAAACCAUAAUAGUUUAAAUUGUGAGUUUAUUUGGUCGAGUGUAAACAUUAACUAUCUCGUUAGAUGAAAUCGAUCUAAUUAGACAUGGAUUCAGUUUCUCAUCAUAAGAUACGUAUGCCAAUUUUUUGUACUUAGAUUAUUAUGUCACACGCACCAUGUACCUGCAAUGAAGUUGUGGCAAUAUAUUAGCUUAGACAAACAAUGACACAGGCCUCACGGUGACCUUAAUUUUGUCAUGGGCACAAUUUAGACUUGAAAGUGUGGCGAAAAUGAUUUUAGGUCAUAAACUAUACAAGUUUUGUAAUCCCAAUUCCUUUUAUUAGGUAAGUCGCCGCGCAUAAUGACGUAGAGUUGCUUAGGUCAUUAUUGCCAUAUUUAAACAUACUUUAACUUUAUGAAGUGUAGUGUGCCAUAUUUUUUGCAGGUAUCAAAUCGUCGACCACAACUUGAGUUAAAUGUGGCUAGAAAAUCUUUCAAUGACACGUGAGUCGAUAUAAGAAAAAAAUUUGACUUGUCAAAUCUAUGGAAGCUAAUUGCCAUGCUCCGUUUAUUGUUAUUUAUCUUAGGUGUGUAUUAUUGUUGAAUUCUUUCAAAAUAUUUAGAUUUUGUAUUUACUUCUUAUUUGCCAAUAAAUUGCAAAAGAUAUACAUGACAUCUCUCAAGUAGCAUGAAGAUCACUACACCCUACUUUGCAUUUUGAUACUUGCAAUAUUUGAAGUAAUGGCAGAAGACUCAUACACACACAUACACUAAACAUAUAUGUAUCACUGAGUUGAACACGAGCAAAUAAUAGAGGAAACACACAUAACACAUUGUACUCGAGAUUGAAUAAAAGCAGCAGAUUCGAGCAAAAUUAUAAAAAAACUCGAGGAGCAACAUAGUUCAAUUACAAUAAGAGAUGUUUGCUAAUAAAUUUGGAAAUUUAUCUCCCCCUGCCACAAAUGUCUUUCUUUAAAGAUUUUGCAUAAUAUUUCCAGUACCCAAUGACAACGCAAAAGAUGAAAGCGAUUCAAAACUGGUGAAGUUCGGACGCUCCAAAGUAAGAAAGUUUUACACAGUCCGAGUGUAAAUGGUCUUUGCUUCCAAGUCAAGCCUACGUUUACAGUGAUUAUUGCAUUAGAGUGGCUAAUUGAUAGACUUCUUGCAUUUUGCUUUGGUGGAGUGGCAUUUGAGUUGAGUUAGAGCUAUUGCAUUUGCUUCGGUGAAGUGACAUUUGAGUUGUGUUAGUUUUUUUUUGUGGUGGUAUCUAUAUUUUUGUUGGUAGUGGUAGUCGUACUGUGUUUCCUAUUGGGCGAGACAGCUUGGUUUCUCGCAUAAAAUUCCAACCUCACUUUUUUCAUUACGGAGGGUGGUUUUGCUGUCCUCUUAAAAAAUGAAGAGAAAAAAAACACUAAUUAAAUCAUCUAUAACCAUCACAUGCUGCACCGGGAUAUCGCUCAGCCCUGUUAGGUCACCUAUGGGCUCACGUGUUUGUGCAAAGCUUUGUAAAUAAGCAGUAGUGUUUCUGGAAGAAAUGACAUCACACUGGACCAGAGAGAAGGAGAGAGUGGGGACAGGCAAACAAAAGGGGUGUUGGAAUCGGGGACGUAAUGCGGACGACAUCACGGCCUGGCAUCCUUGGACAAAAAAGACGCCUGCACUAUUUCGUCCCUAUGUGCACGCACGGGUACAUGAGACAAUCGACGUCCUAUGCCAAAAUUUUGUCACAGCCCCGGCCCCCUGCACACAUACACCAUACACGUACAGGCCACCGGCCGGUCACCCAGCGGCCUCUUCCUCCUCCGUCGUCCUCCCCAGUCCCCAUAUACACACACAACACACAAACCCAUCUGUGCUCUGCGCAGCACCAGGACUGGAUCGGGGAGCCCGCUGCUGUUUCAGCACGCGGCAGCGCACAGCGCCAUCAGUGCUCAUCGCUUGCUCCACACCGUGCCGGCCCAGUCAUCAGUCUCCCUCCCUGCUACAUACAUGAUGCUUAGCAUAGCAGCUUGCUCAUCGGCAGGACAGUCUCCACACCACCAUGCAUGAUGCAUGCGCGCCCUGUGGAUUACACCGAGGAGAUCUUGGCUCCAGCCGCGGCUGCUGCCGCUGCCACCGCCUGCCACCUCCCGGCGAUGUCGGCGGCGGCGCUCAGGGCGUCCGCGCCAGCGCCGAGCAGGCCCCGGCCGGAGAAUCCCACGCAGUACAGCCCGUUGGGACCCCUCCAGCUGCUCGCCGGCUGCUGAGCCUUUGCCUUGCCGUCCUCCGUGAACAGCUCGCUAUCCUGUACGUCGCCAUGCACACGUAUCAUCAUCAGCAACGGCAGCGGCCGGGGUGUCGCGUUGGUGUGUCAAUUUGAUUGGAGCACUAGUGGCCGCGUUACCUUGAGCCAGGAAGGGACGUUGCUUCUGUAGCCGGUGGCGAAGAUGACGGCGUCGAAGUCCAUCUCGUUGCCGUCCACGAACCUCACCCCGUUGCCGCCGGUGAAUGACUCGACCUCUGGCACGAUCUGCAUCCGGUGCAGAGCACACACAAGGCGUCAGAAGUGCACAUGCAGAUAGACGUAUAGACAAGGUGGUUUCAGGUCAAAUGGAAUGUGACAUUACUCACUACACGACACAGCUAAUCGUAAGGUUAUUUACACGGUGCUUAUAAGUGAGAGUGAGACCACUGCACAAAGUUGCUAGAUGGAUCAGCCAGCACAUUGGGGAAUGGUCCAUGAAGAUGCUAUUUUUGUUCAGCUGGCAGUUAUUUUGUUUUCAUGCACGAUACGAUACGCCUCAGAUGACAGCUACGUAUUUGCGUUCUGCGACGACCCCAAAGUACAGGCGCCUGCACCAGGCAGGCCACCAGACCCAAGGCCAAGUGGUAAAAUACUUUGGCCAAUAAACCAGGCAGAGAGAGGGAGAGCAGAUAAAACUGUAAAAAAUUUCACCUCACGCACCAACAAAGGGGAAUGUUGUAGAAACCUCAAAAGUGAAAGCUAGCGUUGGCAUGACAUGGGAAAGGAAAAGAAAGGAAAGGAAGGAGGCACACAGCAUCCACUCUUUUGACAGCCCUCACCUUGAUGUUUCCAGAUUUGAUCAAUGACCAUGCUCCCACGUCGAGAACAGGGCUCUUGCCGGUGAUGUUCUUGAUCUCCAGCGGGCCCAGCUUGGGCCGCCUCAGCCCGUGCUUCUCCGUGUCCCCCAGGACCAUCUUGGCGACGAGGAGCAGGAACCUAUCCACCAGCUUGAUCGGCAGCCACUUGAGCAGCUUCAUGGCGAUGCCGAACGUUGACGUCCCAAACAUCUCUCUUGGUAGGACGUGCACCUGCUUCAUACAUUCCGACAUGUGCAUAGAUGCAUGUUAAUUAACAAGUGGCGAACAAGAUGCUCAAGAACAUUAUUAAUGAUUACAAAAGAUUUUCAUAGGAAAAAAAGAGAUAAUAUCACGAAAGAAAAUGCUUCAUAUAAUGAAACUUGCUUAUUGACGGAACGCCAAAAAAAAUGUUACAUAGUGUGUUACCAAGGUCAUUUUUUUAGAAAACCUUAGAUUAAUACAGUAAAAAAAGAGAGAUGAUAUGAUCAAGUAGCAACUACAUGAAUCUUAACUGCCAGUUCUUUCAAAAAAAAAAACUACAUGAAUCUUAAGGAAGAAUGGCUAGCUUACCCCGCUCCUGACAGACAUGAAGGGCAUUGCACCAUGCUCGCACAAAUCCAAGCACAUCUCCAUCCCGGAGUUGCCGCACCCCACGACGAGCACCCUCAUGCCCUUGAACCUCUCGCCACUCCUGUACGCGCUGGAGUGCAGCACCUCCCCGGCAAACCUCCCCCUCCCCUUCACCUUGGGCACGACCACCUCGGCGUUCUCGCCGCUGGCCACCACCAACCACGGCGACACGUACUCGGUCGCUCGGCCGCCGUCCUCGGCCGACACUGCCGUCACCCGCCAGAGCGACGCCGCCGCGUCGAACCGCGCCCGGGUCACCGUGCGCCCGAACAGCGGGGACACGGCGAAGCGCGCGGCGUAGGAGCGGAGGUACCGGAGGAAGUCGUGCUUGGUCGGGUACGUGGGGAAGUCGGCCGGGAAGCCGACGUGGGGGAGCUCGCAGAAGACCUUGGGGAGGUGGAGGCGGAGGCGGUCGUAGGUGCGGUUCGUCCACAGGUCGGCGAUGCCGUCGGAGCGCUCCAGCACGGUGAAGGGCACCGCGUGCCGGCUCAGCGCCGCCGCCACGGCGAGGCCCGACGGCCCGGCGCCGACGAUGAUGGGGCCACGCACGAGGCAACAACCGGCGCCCGAGUUCUGAUCCCGCCUGCUAGGGCUAUUACCAGCAGCGUCAGCAGCUUGCUCCUGCAUGGUUGAUGACGGCCGGUGCAAGCAGGCAAGAACCAACGAGCUAGCUAGAGCUAGAUAGCUAUCUAGCAAUGGAAGCAGCUGAUGCAAUGGAAGCGACGACGCUAUCUUGCUUCUAGGAAAGAAUGGAGUAGCUCUGAUGGAUGAGAGGAGCUAGAGCUAGGAGGUAGCUGAAGGUGUAGGCAGCAACACCACACCGUCCUAAACUGCUACGGGCAACGUCUUUUUACCACUCUUGCAUGCGCUACAGUGACAGUGUAAGCAUGGAGGGGGUUGAAAAAUUGAAAAGGUGAAGAGGCGUAGUAGUAGUAGUAGUGAGCUCAGGCUGAGGGUCCCUCUACUCCCCUAUAUAUAAGGAGAGGUGAAAAUGUAAAAAGGACUGCUUACAUUGUACUGGGCCAUCUCUAUCACUACUGUAGGAAUGAUUGCCCCAAUCUUUUCAGGUCAAGGGAAAAAAAAAUCAUAUUUUUAAUCUCUUAUUUUAUCAUUCUCCUUUUUCUCCCAAGAAGAUAUAUGUUUCUCUGCAGGCACUCCAAGAACUCGAUCAGAGAUCAUCAAAUCUGAUAUGAGAUCCUGUCAUGCAAUGCACUGCAUUUUGACAGGCUAAUCGUGUAGGCGCCAUUGCCAGCAUAUGCAUGAACAUUGUUUCCUGUGUCGCUUCCGCGGAUCUUAAGAUGAAUCGUUCAAAGUGGUCCUUGGUUAGUGUUCAUCCAACCAAUCAUUAAUUUCCUUGUUCUCUGAACUUUAAGCAUGGCCAUUGCUGCCAUAUCCAUAGCGCAGAAAAUAUAUAAAUGUGUACUUUCUUUUGAAUAGCAUGGCAUAGCACACACCUCCAGAAAAUGGUUGGCAAGUAGGAAGUCCUGAAUUGGGACAUUCUGCUGUACUUUGACAGACAGCCUAGGUCAACCAGCCCUUUUGCUUAAAAAUAAGAUAUAGAAGAUCUUCAAAGCUUACUUUAUUAGCAGUCUAUUACCUAGCUACUUAGGACCUACUAAUUGCAAACUAAUUUCACAUUUGGACUAAUGAACUAUCUUAGUGUAUUAGGAAGCAGGGAGGAAGGACACAGAGAGGCAAAGACUAGAUUCAUCAUUGCAAUUUUCUAAUGGUUUACUUGGUAAUUGACUCUCAUGUGUCAUCAGAUAAGGAAGAACUAAACGAAGCAUACUGAAUCUUCCGACUUGAGUUAUCAAAAUCUACAGAUUCAUCAGAUGCUCUGUCUGGUUUAGCUCCCAUUGUCUCCACUAAGCGUGCAUGAAUCGAUUAAUAAAAUUCUGUAAUCAAGAAGUUGAUAUGGUGACGAACUCUACAAUGCUGAUCGAUAGGUUGAGGACACUACAGCUACUCAGAGAUCCCAUCAGCACAUGGAUGUUCACAUUGAACACAUUGCUGUUCCAUCCUAUUAGUGAAAUAUUAGCUGUUCUGCUUGGAGGUUGUCAUGGUUGGAGAAUGGUACUUUCAGUUCAACUAAUAUAUAAGAAAAAUGGGAGGAGUCAGAUAUUAUUCUUUUUCUUGAAGAUGCCUGGCAAACAUGGAUACCAUGAUGAAGUUGCAGCAUUAAACUGCUGAUAUGAUGAAUUGCUAGUUAACAAAAAAGUCAGGAACAUAAAAAAACUCUUGUCAAGUUAAACCUCAGCCUAUAAAGACAAUGUGAACGUGAAUGGCAGCUAAGCAAAAUAAUUCAACGAAUUCGAUCUUUCAAAAAAUAAUUCAAUGAAUUUUAGCAAGAUUGGUCAAAGCAGUAGUGAACACCAUAUGGAUGGAUUUACAUUUCAGACAACAGAGUACCUGCAGCUUCAGUUUAUCGCCUGCAUCUGCUGAAGAAUUCAUCCCAGGUGCAAGGCUCCUUGUGAAGGAGUUCUCCUGUAACACCACGCCUAGACUUCAGAUUGGAUCUAUGAGCAGCACCAACUUCGUUUAAAAUAAAAUAAUUUAUUACCGAAAAACCAGAGAGAAACUGUGUAGACAGCAAGAACAAACCUAACCUUUUCAAUUCCACACAAAAAAGAAACGUCCGGGUGUCUGAGGCAUUUCGCCGAACAUGUUGUCCCUGGCCAGAGUCCCGUUCCAGUCUUGGGGCUUCAACUGCAUAUCUGCAUCAGCAAAAUUAAAGAGCCUAGGUAAAUAGGCUGGAGGAUAGAUUGGAUCAUUGAACCGAUCAGAUGUUGCUAAAAUUCACCUCCCAUACAAGAAUUUCCCUGCCAUUUUGUGAGAUCGCCGAUCGCCGAGCGGCAAGCAGGGCCCUCCAGAAAGAAUAGGUCGACAACGUAUUGACAGGGUAUCCAAAGGAAUACGCUUUCCGCUCUAGAGCACGGGUUUACAAAGGUUUCCGGAGACACCUUGUGAAGGCGACUAAGCACUGUUACCAUGAGUACGUCUUCGUAUUCUGAAAACAUACCGAUGGAAUUCGCUAGUGCGAAGGCUCGUAGUGCACCUACAUUGCCUUUUAUCUCUAAAGAGACGAAGGAAUCAAAGCCCAAUAAUGCAGAUUGCAGACGUUAUGCUCGGCGAGUGAGGAUCUUAUCCGGCGAAUACUCUGUAGAAAACGUUAUCAAGAUGAAUAUGCCUUGCUUCGCUACUGGAGUAGUACAUCUUAAUCAUAUUCCUAGUAGGAAUGCAGGAUCAAGUUUCAAGAUAUACAUGAGCUUUUCAGAUUUGGAACUUUCCUCACAAAUCCUAGUGCUGCACUUGUCACUGAUGACAGUGCAACUGUUCGUAGUCGCAUGCAUAAUUAUUUGCCAUAAUCAAUGUCGUAUCUAUAUGUUCAGACAAUCCAUCGCACCUGGUGUGUGAAUACUGAAUAGAACAUCAUCUUUUACCAUUCUGGGCUUUUGCCUGUCUUUUAUUUGCUACACUGUGUGAAUAGACAGGCAAUUUGUUGCCUGCCGCAGGAUGGUGUGUGUUUUUUUAAGAAGAGCUCAUCCUGCUUUUUAUAGAAAGCCAUAAAGAUUUGUUACAGAGCGUUUUGCUGGGAUACCAGUUUACGAGAAAAAACUUCAGAAAAGCCUAGCAACAUACUAAGCUGAAUAAUCUGCAGACAUAUGCUAAAAGAUUACACCAUCAGAGUCUAUCAUAGAAGGUAACAGCAGCUCAAAUGAAGUCCACCAUCAGGUCUUGAUUGCAUUCCUCUUCUAGAAAUCUUUUCACCCAGGUCGCCACUUGGUUGUUUAGCUGUUCCAGGCAGCCUCUGUCAGAUUCCUGCAGCAAUAUUUUCCACCUCUGCAAGUAAGAUGAGAUAGCAAAGAUGAAAUCACAUGGUGAAUUUGGGAAUUUGCGUUCAAUUCUCAGCUUGUUUCAUUGAUUCCAUAACACCCACAAGAUUAUUGUAAAGGAAAAAAGAAUCGUAUCAUAAUUAGCUCCCUAAAACUAGCCACCCCUUAUAAACUCAUGCAGGCUGCAUGGAGUGUUCUCCCAGCUGAGAGCUUUCUUGAAACACACCCAAACAAAUUUAGCUAAGAUGCAUCGAAAGAAAAUAUGAUCAGAAGUUUCUAGCACCCCACAUAAAAGGCAUCUGGCAUCUCCUUUCCAUCCCUUUUCUCUUCAACACCUCACCCGAGGGGAAUCUGUUAUGGAAAAGAGACCACAGGAACAUCCUUAGUUUCAUUGGCAUUUUCUUUUCCAUAGCCUGAUCGCACGUCUGUCCUGCACACCCUGGAAAUUAGAAAUCUGUACAUAGACUUGGUUGUGUACUGUCCCUUGCUCUCAAGCCUCCAGACCACCUUGUCCCUUUGGCCAUUCAGGUAAAUAGGGUCAAGCUUGUCCAGAAGCAAAUCCCAUUCUCGGACUUCGUUGGGACCAGACGGUCGCCUGAAGUCUACAACCCAUUCUCCCCCUCACCAGCACUUGCUGACCAGGACCUCUUGGUCCCUGCAACAAUCAUAUAGCCUGGGAAACUCUAGUUUAAGGGGAAUGUUAUCUAGCCAAGUAUCUUUCCAAAAUCUCACAGAUUCCCAUUGUUGACUUGGAAGGUAGCUCCAAAGAAGAACUUAUCUUUGACUUUAUGCAGCCCUUUCAAGAACUGAGACCCCCCUCCCCCCCUCCCCCCCCCGCGCCCUCUUUCUAUGGAUAAAAGUAGUGUUUCUAAGGUAUUUCGCUUUUAGGAAGGAGCAACACAUGUCCCCCUCCUCUGAAUUGUAUAUUCUCCAGACCCAUUUGAGGAGCAACGCUUCAUUUAGGAUUCUAGUGUUCAUUAUGCCCAGCCCAUCAUAGUCUUUAGGGAUGCACAAAUUUUCCCAUUUAACCAUGUGGUAUUUGAAUUUAUCCCUAGCCCCCCUCCAGAAAAAUCUUGAUCUGAUUGUGUCCAUCUGCUGGUGCGUCCCUUCAUGGAGCAUGAACAUUCCCAUAAGAUAGAUAGGCAUGCUACUAAGGGAGGAGUUUGUGAGAAUGAGUCUCCCACCAGAUGUCAGGUUCUUCCUCUUCCAAGGUUGUAGCUUAUUUCUCAUUUUGUUCACCAUUCCCCCAAAGGCUUGCAGACCUACAUUCUUAUCAUUGAAAGAGUAUAUAAGCCCCUAGUGGGUUUUGGUGUGUUGAAUGAUAACUAGAUUAAAGGUCUAAUAAACUUGUUAAGCAUGUGAGCAAGUGUAAUAUUAUUGAUGAAUAAUCUUUAUGGGAAAGAUUCUAUUAAAUGGCUCAUAUGGUGAAAAGAACAAGUGUGAUACAUGGCAUUGUUCAUCUAAGUACGAAAAGCAAGCAAUGAUGUUAAAGAUGAGUUGAGGCUUGGUUGAUAGCGUCAUAGUGCAAGAUUUCUUAAUUUGAAGAUGAAUGCCAUAACAAUGAAUAUUGUAUAAUCUCAUGGUGUUCAUGUGUAAUAUAUGACAAGCAAAUUAAGGUGAAGAUAGAGGUAUGAUGGCAUUGGGUUAUUGUUCGGUCUCUAAAUAAAAUGAGAAGCUUGUUAGCAACAAAUGGAAUAUUGAAGUCAAAAGAAGAUAUGAUCUCAAGUGGGUUUCAUUCUUGAUGUCAAAACAAAACUAGACUCAAAUGUGGCAGCAAUUGGAUGAAGGAAUCAAGCAAGGGAUUAGCAAUGAGGUACUAAGCGAAGUUUGGUCAGGUGGUGACUUGGGCCAUGAGCUUUGCUAGGGUGAGUGGCUAGUGCUUGCAGGAUUUCGAGGUAUCAAGUCAAGCCUAACCGAGUAUAGCAAUGGGUUGCAUCAAAUAUUUAUUGAGUCAUAUAAAAGGGUGACUUGUGAUCUAAAGUUGGAUUUCAUUCAUAUGUGUUGAAUAUUGAUCCAAGUCACUAGCUCAAGGUUGAAGUGCUCAAACCAAAGAGACAAACAUGGAUACAGCCCUCAAGUGGAUAUAUUGAUCAAGUAUGGCAUGGUUCAUGAUGAUGAAGCUCAAGUAAAGGAAUAGUGUGUUUAUAUUUUAAUCUUGAGUAUAUGUUUGCCGUACUACCAAGAGGGGUGCAUCACAUGGUUAUUUGACAAAGUUUCAGUGCUCAAGUUUCCUAUGUGAAUUGAUGAGAGACACAAAAGCCACACGUACACACUCUGUCAAUUCAGGCAGUGGUAAAAUCAAAAGCUCCGAUUUUAGAAAUAGGAAGUUCCGGUUUUGGAUGCCACGUGUCACUAACAGCUAGUUGGUUUGAAAAACCGGAUGUUCCAGUUUUGGGAAACCGGUAGUUCUAGUUUUGGUCUGACACCCUAAUGGCUAGUUUUUGAGGGGUGGUGUAUUUAUACCCCACGCCCUCUCCAGUUGCUUGCUGCUGCUUCUGAGGUUGCUUGUGUACUUCUUGCCUGUUCUAAGCUAAACUAAAGCCAAAAUAGCUCUUCCCAACCCCUCUUUGUAAGGUUGUGUGAUCUUUGUUAGUUCUUGUGAGUUGGGUAGUAAAGAGGAGCCAUUCAUGAGUAUAGUAGAGCACUCAGUUACUUGAGCACCGGUUUGCCUCGUCAAGUUUCAAGUGAAGCAUUUGUUACUCUUGGAAGUGUGACUCCUAGAUGACUAGGUGUCGCCGGCUAGCUCCCAAAGGUGUGGUGAGCAGCGGCAAGUUUGUGAAGGCUGCAAUAUUGCCUCCGCAAGAAAAAAGGUCAUCUAGUGGGAACGAGGAAAGUGGUUGAAAGAGACCCAGCACAUUGGAAGGGAGUUGAGUAGACUCGUAUUCCAAUGGGCUCCUCAACGGAGAUGUAGGAUUCAUAGUGGUGAAUCUGAACUUCGGUGAAACAAAUCAUCGUGUCUCCUCGCUGAUUUGCUCUCAUUUGCAUUCAUUGUUGAACUUGUGAAUUUGGUUGAUCUACUCAGGUGUUUGUGUUUGUGAAGUGCAGGAACUUUGUGAGCCUGAUGAGAAACACCUACUGAGCCUCUACACCAAGUCUAGUUUGACCUUGAGCUCAUUUGCCACUCUGUGCGUUGGGGGUUCUCUCUACUCGAGCUAAAACCGAAGGUUUCGGUUUCUGGCAAAGAGAGUUUUAUUCCACUACAAAUGUGCUUAGUCUCUUAGCUUUGAAAAUUUCCGUAGAUUGCUUCAGAAAUUCUAUAGGUUACGGAAUUUCUGGAAACAUCUCCAAAAAUACCAGAAGUCGCUGAUAAACUUAUUUUUAAUUUGCGAUAAUUUCAGGGUACGCCUAUUCACACCCCCCCUCUAGGCGAUAUCAAGAUCAUUUCCAUCACUCAUAGGAAUGCCUAGGUAAGACAUUGGAUGCCCCCCCUCCCACUUUACAGUUUAGCAUAUCUGCAAUUCUGGACUGUUCCUCUUUCGAGAUUCCGAAGGACAGAACCUCGCUCUGGUGAUAGUUGAUUUUAAGGCCUGACAUCCAUUCAAAACAGUACAAUAGGAAUUUCAUGUUGAUUAUAGUCUUGUCAUCGCAGUCCAUCAUAAUGACCGUAUCAUCUGUGUACUGAACAUGAGUGAGGCCCCUGGGAACAAGGUUGGGAACCACCCCUCUAAUGUGACCUUUCUUUUAGCUUUGUUCAGGAUGUUGUCUAAGGCAUCUGCAGUUAGGUUAAAAAGCAAAGGUGACAGUGGGUCCCCCUGCCGCAGCCCGUUGCGUGUCUUAAAGUAUGGCCUGUUUUCGCUGUUGAUGUUAAUACAUACUUUCCCACCCUGGACUAUGCUCAUGAUCCACUGGAUGAUGAGAGGAUCAAAGCCUUUCCUCUUUAGAACCUGUUCCAUAAAAACCCAACUUACGCUAUCAUAAGACUUCUCGAAGUCGAUCUUCUUAAUCACCCCCUUUUGUCGAAGAUGUAUCUCCCCUUGAUGAAUGUUGACUGGCACUUGCCAACCACCUUGGAUAAUCUUGACAUUAUCAGUCGUGUAAAGAUUUUGAAGCUGACAUUGAGGAUAAAAAUGGGCCCGUACUGCUUGACAUUGUUAGCAUUCCCUCAUUUUGGUAUUAACGUGAUAACCCCGUAAUUCAGUCUUGUCAUGUCUAAUUCCCCCCUGUAGAAGUUGUUUAUCAUUUCCAUUAAUUCCCUUUUGUCUAGAUGCCACAUGACCAGAGGUCUUGCAACGAACACAUAGUGGGUCAUUAGUGCAGCCUGACUGCACCAUUGGUAGGAUCCCAUCUCUUGGGAGCGAAAUCCACCAGUCAGAUUACCUCCCUUCUCACAAAAAUCACCCCAUGUCCCUCUUGGACCCAUCUCGAACCAAGGAUUUCCAAGUCUCAUGUAUUGGGGUGGGGAUUUUGUUGCCUUGAUUUUGCUAGGGUAUGUUCUUCAGAUCAUCCAGGUUCAUCUUUCUGAGGUCUGCCCCCCUUGGGUCAAUUGCUCUUCUCUUCGUGUAUGUCUCAUCACCUCCAGAAUCCUGACGAGAGCCGGAGUGAGUUGACCAGCUUCUGGGAGCUUCACGCGUGCCGUGCAACCUUUCCCGGAGUUGAGCUUCUUUGUGGAAUCCAUCGUUGGACCGGUCCUCCCUGCGUUCCCGAUCAAAUCGACCACCCCCUCGGAGAUCUUCCUCAAAGUUGCGCUUGGGAACCCCUCCCUGAUCUGUCCAUCUUGGAGGUCUCUGUUGAUCUCCUCUCAUCUCCCCAAAUCGAAGGGCGUCUGCGAAGAAGGCGGCAAGUGGUGGCGGUGGAUGAACCCUAGCUAGACAAUCCCUGCGAAUUUCCUCUUUUCUGGCUGGGUAUCCCGAUUCCCCCAACAGUGCAAGUUUGGGUAUCUAAAUCCAGAUGGAUAUGGGCUCAUCUCUCCAAGAGUGAGCGUAGAGGUCCUCAAUGCUACGGCCAAAUGGGGGCCAUCCCUGUUUCUAUAGGGCCUGACCCGUUCUGACUUCGUCUCCUUCCUCGCACCCAAUUGCGGGUCCUCCCCUAUGAACUGAGAACACCUCGGAAUCCUAUUGAUCGUCGCCUCCAAUUGCAGCAUGGAUAGCUUCAAAUCCACAUCCCCCCAAAUAUCAUGUGAGCAAUCGCUCGCAGCAGCUGAUCCUGAGAUUGAUUUUGAGUCCCCCCCCCCCAAAUAAGCAGAGCUUUAGCUCGCGGGCAAUUCAUUUGUAAUGACUUAGGUUUAAAUCAGCUGAGAUAAUCUUAAGACAAGCCUAUAAUCUGGUUGACUCAGCUUAUCUUGAGCUAUAUCGGCUAAAGUCCGGUUUUCAGCCCAACCUAGCGCCUUAAGGAGGGUUUAUCUUUGGAGCGUUGAGCAGGACGCCAAGAAAUUCCUUUAAGAAAGUUGGAGAACGAAGUCCCUGCUACAACCUUGUUAGUUGGACCUUAAUCCUUUUCAUCUCCGAAGAUUCCCAAAUCUGCAGCUCAAAUCAGCCCCGACCCCUGAAACCGACAGACCGCAGUUUUUCUCUAAGUCCCGAAACCAGUGUUCCUCCAAACUUUGGAGCCGUGGAUCCCCAAAUCCACUGCGUUUUUGGACUCAGUCCAAUUGCAAGAGUUGGACCUUGGCCUGAAUUCUACAACAUUUGUUAAGGCAGUAGAAGUGGUGCAAUUUGGAAACUGGGAGAACCAGAGACUGGAAGAUGGACCCAAAAACGAAUCCCACGGAUCUCUCGGGUCAAGCACGUCAGAGCAAGCGUGCGCCCUGUCUCAGAGCCUCGUCGCCGCGUGGCUUAACCUUCCCGACGAGCGCCGCCUCGCCCAGUCGCCGGUCACGACAAGAUGGAUCAGCGCGCCUCCUCUCCAAUCGCGCACAGAAGCGCCCUGCAGCCCUUUUCCGCCUCGUCUCGUCUCGCCCGCAACCUCGCCGGCCACGCCAGGCGCCUGUUGCCGCUGCGACCAAGGAUUAGCCACUGCUGCGCCAGUCCGCCUCGCCUCUCGCGCACAUCUCCUCACCAGGAUCCCUGGUCGCGCACCCCAACAUCUUCCGGCUUUUCCGUUGCCCCUCAGUCGAGCUGCCCACGCGCGCGCCCCGCGAUGAUGCCGCCUCCGCCAACCACUGUGCCGGCAGUGACAACUCUUUUCCCCCACCUCGCCAGUAGCGUGCCACGGCAAAGCCGCCGGUUCUGCGCUUGCUAGCGUCGCCGCUCGCCCGGUCACCUCGCCUGCAGUGCCCCUUCCUUCCUUCCUGCCGCACACUGGCCGAGUCGCCACACCCAAUCCGAUGCUUGACGCGACCAGACCCCGCGCUCGACCUCGCCAAUCCUUCCCUCCGGUAAAACUGCGCCUGCAUAGCGCUGUCUUCAGUGCCUAAUACCGUAAGACCCUGUCCCCGGAGCUCCGCUUCGCCGGCCAAUGGAGGCAUCAACCAAUUGCUACCACAGCAGAGCACUCCAUCCUCUUCGACCUUAUCCUCGCGCUGUCCGAACUCUUUCUCUUCCGCGCAGCUAUAAAAGGGAGUACCAAAGCCUCUACCGAAGUUCCCUUCGCCAUCGUUGCUUUGCCGCACCUUCCUCUGUUUCGUGCUAAAGCGCUGCCGCAUAAGCUCAUUGAGGAACUCCCCCUCUCCGCUCAACACUCGCCUUCCCACACCCACCAGCCGCUUGCUUCCUCCACGUCGAGCUAGAAGCUUAUUUGUUGUCCACAAGAAGCACCGCCGCCGCCAGAAACUUAGCAUCGUUCGUCGUUCCGCCUGAGCUUGCUCCAUCCCGACCCCAAGACUUCACCAGUAGGCACAGAGGUAAGCUGUCGACCCCUGUCCGUCUCGCCCAACCCCUCUCCGUUUCGCCCGACCCCUAUCUGCUUCGCCCGACCCUUGUCCGCCUCGCCCGAGGGUUCAGCUGUAUCCUUUUUCUUUUGACCAAGGGUAUCUGCGUAAAAUUUCGGGGACUUCUCUGUGUUAAGUCUGAGGACCCCAGUACAGUUAUUCCUUAGGUCUGAGAGUCAGAUCAUAAGUUUUCCCGAUCUGACUCUUUUAUCUUGUUUUCUAUCAGCAGAAGCUUGGUUUUCCACACCUUUCUUGUAGUUUUGCUACAAGUUUCUGAGCUAAAGCUUGCAAGUGUUGUUGAAAUAACCAUCUAAGUGUUUUAACCCCUGCAUUUGCAUUCUGUGUAGAGCUAAACCUCGCCGACGGCACGUACGAGCUGCACCCGGUGCCAGAAGACGGAGCGGUAGCCGAGCUGCCGACUGCAGGAGCUGAAGCAGAGCACCCAGAAGAUCAGUUUGCUUCCACCCCGCUCGAAGGCAAGCCCCGGAGCAUAACCCAUUCUUUCUAAACUUGCGCAUGCCUUCAUUUGUAUGUAUGUGCAUUUACGUUAUAGGAGUUGUUUGAAACCAUAGCUGCAUGCCUCAGUUCCCUUGAUCUGAACACUAGCAUAAUAAGUCCGAGUAGUUGCAGUGCUUAAUAGGACUCGGUAAAAGUCGAGUGAUUCCCUGUCACUCGCGAGUUAUAGGAGUUGCUUGUUCUCCUUCUGGUUACAACUAUAAGGACGGUGGACGGGGUAGGGCCUUGUGAACUAUUUUGGUGGUAGGUGGAUUGUCCUGUCUGUCUACUUGAAAUUGGUUAAGGUCAGAAAGUGUUGGUGUUCGUGAUCAAGUGUUUGAAAGUACUAAUCUCAUACCUAGUAUGGGAUGGGGAAGCCUAGUACCUGAUUGAACUAGGCGUGGCUUAUACCUCUGCUGUCCCUGGAACGAGGUUCCCAUGGUGCAUCAUGUGGGUGCAAGUGCGGUCACAGUGCAGCGAUAGGCCGGGACUGUGGAGCAUUGCAUGCCAAGGGAAGUUUGGACCUGACACGUGCCUGGGAAUUGAUGGGGACGGCUGACACAGGAAGCGACCCUCUGUGGUGUGCGGAUGUCGUGAGAUUAGGUUCUCCAUGCAUGGUUAAGAAAUUCGAAUCGAUUCGUCUGCCUCUCACAGCUUGGGACUGCUUGAUCGCUAUGUUACACUGAGUAAAGAUGGAACACGAUGAUAAUGUGAACCUUAAUGCUUGCUCUUUAAAUUGUUUGGAAACUUUGUUUGCUUAGCAUAAGUUGCUAAUAUAGACUGGUUAAUGAACUUAGAAUCUGAGCUAAAAUAUUGAAGGUAAGGACCUACUGUAGUUGCUUUUGACAAAACAAACCCCUCAGCCAAAGAGCUUUGCAUGUCUAGAAGUUGGUGGAGUAGUUUUCCCACCGGUCGGUUAAGUCUUGUUGAGCUUAGCAGCUCAGCCUUGCUUGUGGCACAUCUUUCAGGUGAUGUUGAAGUUUCUGAGUGUGCUGUUGUUGGCACUUGGCCUCCCCAGCUUCCUCCUGGGUGGAUGGUUGAGUGGGAUCCCUCCUCGGACGGCGAGGAUAGGGACCACUGAUGUCCUGAUCGGCCUCAUCAGGGACAUCCGACCCGGCGCUAGCUUCCGUUGUUCUGUUUUAUUUUUCCGCUGCUCAUGAUCUUUGUAAAACUCUGAUUUUCGAACCUGUGUUGUAAUAAAAUUUGAACUUGUUUAGGUGGAUGAUCUAUUGUGUUAUCUGGAACCACUUAUCUUCGUGUGAGCUAUGCUAACUCGAUCCUGUAUAGUGGUUUUAUCGGAUGAAAUCCGACGGACUGCCGAGUUAACUUGAUUAAAGCAUAUGAUCGCAUGUUAGGUGACUUAAUUGUGCUUUAGCCAAGUUAAUCCGAGCGGUUCCGCCACGUCGUUCCCUCUCAAUCUCACGAUCCCAAUCCGAGGUAGGAACUCCUUCUGUUGCGAAUCGUCCACGGGUGUCCUGCUUGCAACCUCCGAUCUCCCCCUCUGAUUAAGGAAAAAACUCUGUUCCCCCCCUUCGAUCGUGUGGUGCGGAGCAGAAACCACCAUGGGACUCACCUCGGUUCACGCGGUCUUAGGGGGAGACUCCGUCGAGGCCGGGGUGUCUCGUCGGGGUCGCCCGCUCGCCGGAGGAGGGCGCCGCCGAGCUCGCUCUGAGCGCUCUCGAGUCUCUGGCCCUCUUAACACCCACCAUCCGGCCGCAGAUGAAGUGCCUGGGCUUGUCCCCGUCGCUGAGCGCGGCCACCGCGUCAGCCUCAUCCUUGAACACGACGAAACCAAAGCCGCGGUCGUGGCCCAUCUCCCUGUCCCGCAUCAUGAUGACGGAGCGCACCUCCCCGAAGCGGGCGAAGUGCUCCCGCAGCUCGCCCUCCUACGUGCCUGACGGGAUGCCGCUUCUGGCUCUCCCCCGCCACCCCCUCCUCGUCCGUCGCCGGGCCAGCACCGACCCCCUGCGCUGCCGCCGCCGCCGCCAUCGCCGACGAAGAAGGAACCAUUUUACCCCUCUCCAUUUUACAUUAGGCAGCUAGAGCCGAUGCACGGUACCGCAGGAUGGUGUAGUGCACCUAUUCCAAGGUCAGCCGUUCCAUGCAAAUUGUUGGAAGUCCACUUCGCCGCGGCUAUGCUUGCAAAGUCCUUUUGUCUUUGUGUACUUGUUGCAAUGCAAUGUAAAGCAGCAAAAGGUUUAUUCGGUGGAAUUGGAACAGAAAUGCUAGCUGCAAGUAGCAGCGACGUCUCGACUUGAUCAAGUCAACUGAGCUGCGUCAGCGCUCCUGUGUUUCGAAACAAGACGUCUUACGCUCAAGGUUGAUUAGUAUCGUUCCUGAAUUAGCCUGAGUAAGAAGUAAUUUGGUGCAGAAAUAUGAAGCAAGGAAAUAAUAAAGAGAGGAGCUGCUGAGAAGUUGCGCUUAUUUUUUUCGUGAAUACGCAGGAGAGCUGCGUAUCUUUGUAUUAAGAAGAAAAAUGUUUACAACGCGAGCCUAUCCGGACGCACGCACACGGUUUUCGUUCAUCGUUUAGGUUACAUUAUUACGCAAAAGAUGCAAAAAGGGAGCAUUGAUGACAAAAAUCAGAGUUGGAGAUCCGGAGCUCCUGUCGGUGCCGGCCAGCCUACUGCCGCUAAAUGUUUGGUCCUGGAGGCGCACUCAAGCUUCUCUGCUUCAAGCUGUGGCCCGUACACAGUGGUGAGACUCCAUUGAUCAUCUGACGUGCCCAGGGCGAUGUUCACGGUGAUGGAAAACCGGCCAGUGUGAACGGUGUAGCAUGAAACCUCAGGGCCUCUACACGCGACGAGGAUGCCACCACUUGCACCCGUAGACGGGAGCUGCGCGAAGCUUGUGAAACGCUGGCCAAGCAUCUCGCAGACAAGAAAACGCGAGAGGUCUUGCAGCUUGGUCUCUUGGAGACACUCCACUGUUAUGUUUGCGUCUCCUACCAUCGUUCGCAGUGCGUCUCUACGGCAGCGAGCAUUCAACCCGCGAACGUUCCAAACCAAAAUGUUUUCGAUUAGGCUGGUCCAUGGAGGAUUACAACAGAGAGGGAGCAAACGGGCUCGGUCACGCAGUGAGGGCGGCUGACGCCUGAGCGGUGAGCUGUAAGAAGUUGCGCUUAUAUGCAUAAAUUUCAGACACCUUGUGUUCUGAAUUCCUGAUGCAGUAUGAUAUGCAGAUAAGAAUAUUCAGACAUUCAGUCGCAGACCGGGAUGCGUAUGUAUAUAUCACAAGUUGAUUUAGAAAACAAAAUGGUAGUAUAUUCAUGAUGAAAACAAUCCCUGUUGACUCAUAGGUUGAACAAGGAAAUACAUAAUUGAGACUUGAUAGGCAUAUAAAUGGUGAGCAAUCUGACAAAUGUUAAGUAGAAGACAGAUAUGUAAAAGCGAGAGCAAAACUUUGCUGUACUCUAAAUUGUGUGCCAGAAUUCAAUAUCCUUGGAAUUAUUUGGAGGGCAAAAAUAUCCCGGAGACUAUCAUGUUGAUUCAAACUUCGUGUAAAUUAAUGCACGUGUCCUUUCUAGAUGGAACUUCAAGUACUGCCAGGUCCAUGCUCAGUGAUACUGUAUAUACUAGCAUCAUGUAGUGUCAGAUAUUGACUUAACAUAAGAGGAACUGCAUCAGAUAUUCAGAAUAAUCAUGGUUUAUCAAAUGAGUUUACUGACAGUGGGUGAUUUGCUACAACAUUUAAAUUAAUCAAAUGCAACUGUUGAAAUAGAUCUGUUCGGUAACUCUAUUUUUGUGACUCAUAGUUGCCCUGAAAACUAGUGUUAUUUUCCAUUUUGAGAUUAAGCCACAUAUAGAUGUUGUUAGGUUGUGGGGGCAUACAUUACAUAUUGAUGUAGCAAGAUUGCAGUUUGGUCAGAUGGUGUUCCCACUAUGUAUUCAUAAUACCUUGAUCCUAUCCUACUUUGAUCGUAGCUUGAUCUAGCAGAAGAUGAAUAGAUGAUCUACAGUUUCUUCAGAGUGUCUGUUACUUGUAAUUUCAAAAUGAUGAAACAUGCCAUUAUCCUGGAUCCAAAUGCCUUAAAGAAACUACUGCAGUUAUUAAUUCGGUACUACAAAAUUACAAAGGUAACAUCGUAGACGCAACUCUUGCAGAAACGAAUUGGCCAAGAAUUAAUAACGCUGGAAGCUAGGAACAUGCAUCGAGAUCAAUUGUCCUCUACAUGCAGAUGCAAGGCUUCUUCACCUGAAAACCCUACCUGCUGUUCCAUCAAGGAGCAAAUUAAAAGCUGCGUAUCAAUUGGUAGGAUAGAAUUUACAUGUAUGCGUGAAUCCUUGGCUUUAGCUUGAACUUACCGUCGUUGGUGUAGAUCUCGCUGCGUGGAAGAAGAUACACGUUGCCUAACUCUAGGGUUUCAGCACAAGUAUAGGUGUGUGCUGCCACAAGAGAAUGAAACUGCUAGAUGAUCUGGUCGCCUCGCCUAUUUCCCGUGUUGUCCUUGCCCAGACAUGAUCACGAAGAACGCGUCCGCUUUCAGAUCAUGCUGGCAGCUUCAUCUUCUUGUGCUGCACAGACUAAACUGACUGAAGCACACCUCACCGUGCCCCUCUCACCUCCCGGCCAUACUUAGGGGGGGGGGGGGGGGGAGAGAGAGAGAGAGAGAGAGAGAGAGAGAGAUUAGCAAUUAGCAUUGGCGUGCGGCUUGAUGGUGUGGGGGCUGUUGGAGAUUAUGUAGGACUUUUUAUGGAGUCCUUUUCGGUGUAAUCUUUUGUUUGUUUGUACUAUCUCCAAAAGCUGAUGCGCAGGGGAAGAAGAAUAAUGCAAAGGCGAGGGGAGAGAUGAGUGCAGUACGUGGUCCCGAUGGACAAGGAAGAUGCAAGGAAAGUAGAACUUGGCAUGCCUGAGCUUUUCUUCCCUUUGAUUAACCAAUGCAAGCUAUGCUAUGGUGGGGCUCCCGAAAAGACAAGCCUGCACUGCACUUGAGGAGGCCCUUUCGAGCAUGCAUCUCCAUACCUAAAUGUGGAGCUCAUUCUGCUUAGCUCUUUAGGCGUGAAGUUCGCGUGCGCCCGAGGUACGCGUGUCGCUCUUCCCAGCGGCUACCAUCACUCCGUCCAUCGAACGCGUCGACUUGUGUUGUGCUUCGAUUGGCAGGGGCUCAAAGCAUGUCCAGCAUGGAUAAGAUUUCAUUUUCGAAAAUAACGUUGAAUGAACUAGGGAUAGCUAAGAGAAUCAACGGUCGGAUGAAAAGUGUGGUAAAAGCUCUGUAAUUUAGACUAACAAAUUUAAAUAUCGUGCUUAAUAAUGAUCGGGUCAUAUACUAUACGAUUUUGAGCUAAAAAUAGAUAGGGUUGAGUUGGAUGGUAAAGAAAGCACGAGGGUCAUGAUCCAUUACCACUAAGUUGAGAUAACACUUAGUCAUGAGACAGCGGUGGAAAACUAGUCUUCUUCCUCCUCUUCAUCUAUACAUGGCCCCAUGUUAGAUAUGCCCCUGUAUUCACAUAAACGGUAUCAUAAGAGCUCCUAUGUGUAGCUUCUGGUAGCUGGUUAAGGAAGGAGUUGCUAUGCCUAUAUACCUUAUGAUCUAUGAAUGUUGGUUGAAGUACGUAAUUUUAAGACAUAAGAUGAUCAAAACAAGCUCUAAACACGGUCCAGUAAAAAUAAGGGUGGUAGAUUUAACAUUUUUAAACUAGAUUCAACGUUUUCUCAAACCUAAAUCAAGUGGUCUAGUUCAAUACUUUAUCGUAAUAUUACAAUAAAAAUAUUAAAGUAGUAUAUUUAAAAUAUUGUAGGGCACUGAAAAUGUUGAUACCACGUUCUCUCCCCCACCAUAAAUAUAUCAUUGCACUGCAGCUAAUGCAAGCGCCGAUCAUCAUGUUUUUCUCUCUGUUUUUUUAGGGGAAUCAUCAUGUCUAAGCCCGAUCGAGUCGCUUUCGCCUGCCGGUACCACACGUGGGCCGUUAACAGUGUGUAAUCCAGCUUGCGCCGAGCGCCACGGCCCAGUCCACCCGGACCAGGCCGUGCCGUGCUGUGGGCCACAAGGAGACUACAGCCCUAUGUAAUCGAACGGCUCGAUAAGCCGACGACAGCCCACAGAAGAAACUCCUCACGUCGCACGGCCCAAUAAGCCGACGACAGAAACAUCUUGGUCCCUUUGCCUAGCCUGCGUCAUCGGGGUGGGGCGACCCGGCGGCUCUUUUGGAACCAACCAACCGUUCGGCAGAGGCGUCCGUUGGGGUGCUCCACGCGCAAUCCCUGCCUUCAUGACGCCGGCGCCGGCUAUCAGCUACGGACACCGACGGAUUGCAGAGAACAGGACGAGCUCACGAGCACCAACAAAGUCACUAACUUACAAACCCAAACCAGAGAUCACCACCGAUGCAUGAAGAGUUCUAGACAGAUGCAACGAGAGCUAAAAGAAUGCAACUAAUGAUCACAAUUAAGAAUCGUGGCUCAUAUAUGCACUACUACAACCAAGGAUCCGGCGACUCCGAAAUACUACGCCGCCGGCCAUCCAUCGCUACAAGCCUACAGCACGGCACUGUACGUACAGUGUGCAAGAACACUGCCACAGCAAUGGAGCUGCCACUAACGUUGGCUCUCGACGAAUCGGAGGGUCAAUUUGAUUCACGAACUACGGCCACGACGCGAGCGCCACCCGCCGCCUCUGCCUACUUCGCGGUGCUAUUGCUCAUGGAGCUAAUCCUCUGCGCCAGCGCGUCCACGUACCGGCCCGGCGGCCGUUGCCUCCUCUCCAUAUCUGUCGGCACGAGCGGCACCGCCGUCCAGGCAUGCCCGCCCCUCAUCCCUUCGCUCAGCAGCUCCUCCCAGAAGUCGUCGGUCAGCUCCGCUGCCAAGCCGCCCUGGGCCUCCUUCUCGUCCUGCUUCCGCUUCCCGAGGCCCUGGAUGUUGAGCGCCAGGUUCUCCAGCUCCGAGGUCCCCGGCUCGCCGCUCCCCAGCACCUCGAACCCGCCCGGCCGGAACAGCAGCUCGUCCUGAUGACGCGGGCACCCACUGGCCUCGCCACCGGCGAGCGACGGCGCGGCGUCGAUGGGCCGCCGCCGCUUCCUCGAGACGGCGUCCUCGAGCUCCUUCCUCCGGUCCUGGUGCUGGAGCAGCUGCUGGAAGAAGUCCGGGCUCUGCAUCGCCCGCGCCAGGAACCCCAUCAUCUGCACCUGCUUGUGCUCCGCGUGCUGCAGCCGCGCCUCCAUGGCCGCCAUGUCCGCCCGCGUGCUCUGCUGCUCCUGCCGCAGCUUCACCACCUCCGCCAGCAGGAUGUUCUUGUCGCGCUUGAGCCGGUCGAUCUCCUCGUCCAGGCCGCCGAACUGGCCCACCUCCAGGCAUGUCCCCAGCUGGGCCGCCUGCUGCUGCUGCUGCUGCUGUGAUCCGGGGAGGUAGGACGGCGGCCGCCGCCGCUUGAUCAGCCUCAGGAGCUGCCUCUGCCCCCUCAGGAAACCUUCGUUCGCGAACUCCCAUCUGUCCGGAUCGAUCUUUCUGAAACCCUGCAGUGAUCGCAAGACAACGAACAGAGCAAUAUAUAGUUAGUUCAAAGUUGUCCAGAAAAAAAGCGCAGAUGGAGGUGAAAGGUGAACGAAGAAGGCAGAUUAUCUGUAUGUUUCACAAAGUAUGUAAAACUGUAGGUUUCACAUAGUUUCUUUCUUGUAGCGUCAUCCGAUGUCUUGAUCCAUCUAGCUACGCAGUAACAAGUUGAACAAAGAACGUGUCAGAAAUUUAACAGCUUGCCAUGGAGAUGCAUGCAGGUUCUGCCAUCUCCCGUCAUCAUCCUGUGCGUCUGAAUCAUUCUUUUCGGUUUUAUACGCCACAUUUGUCACUACAAAAUUACGGAUAUUGGCAAACGAUUCCAUCAGUUCAACUAGAAAUCCAGAUUGUGCAGAAAAUUCAUCUAACGUCACCACCAUUUCAAAAAAAAAAUUACAUCACCAGGAAAUGUGAUCUUGCUCAGGAAAUUCAUACUGUAUAUUGACACAGAUCGCAAUGUUUAGUAGUAGACUCGACUCGAUUGAUCACUCAUGCUACUGCACUCCACAAUGCAAGGAACUUACUGCAAAAAACAUCACCUCACAAGCACAAAUGCACACUACUCGAGAGCAAGUGAACACACCCAAGAGAAACUAAAUUGGCAAGCCAGGACAGGAGACUCACAUAGGUGUUGAGCUGGCGGACGAAGCUGGAGAAGUUGUUGUGCUUGAAGAACCUGGGGAGCAGCACGGCGGCGAACACGUGAGGAUCCCACACGACGAAGCUGUUGCCGGCGCGCCCCCACGAGACGACCUGGUCGGUGGCCGGGUCCGCCACCAGGUCGAACGUCUUGGUCAGGAACGGCGGCGGCCCAACCUCGUGCAGCCCCUCCAUCGGCCGCGGCGCCCCCUCCGCGUCCAUGUCCUCCACCUCCUCCUCCGGCGGCGGUGAGCCCGGCGGCCACUCCUCCUUCACCGUCACCAUCCCCGGCAGCAGUGGGUGGUCCAUCGUGCCACCGCCACCCACCAACCAACCCAGACGCCGAGCCUUUUCUGCCCCCGGAUGAGCCGCAGCCAAGCAACGAUCCCCAGGCGAAUUCCGCUGCGAUCGUCGAAUCCAGCGCUGGCGAUCCCGAGAACCAAGAAUUAACAGUCGUCGCUCGUGCUACAGUGCUCUGAGCCACUCGUGGCGUGGCGUGGCGUGGCGCGGCGCGCACGGGAAGAGAAGGCCUCUGUGCUACGAGAGUGGCGGUGCGGCGGCGAUAAAUACCAGCUUGACCUUUGUACGCGACUGGUCAGGAGGGGAAUGGAACGUUCUAGACCGCGGGGCGCGUUCGUGGCGGGGUGGAGCUCGGAAGGUUCUGGACGUCGCGGGGUGUAGCUGAGGUUGGCGCGCCCGGCGCAAGUGGCGAGAUCCACCUCCCCAGAAUCGACCGCCGACAGGAGGACGACGACGGCGACAACUCGUGGCCAUUUUUCCUGAUCGCCUCGCCUGUAGGCACUGCGCGUGAUUGGCUGCCGAGCUCGUGAUUGGCUGCAACUUGCCGCGCCGAUCCGCCGGCGAGAUACGCCGCGUUCGCCGCGAAAGGGACGUCCCUUUUUUCUUCUCCGAGUUUUUUUUUUCUUCCCCCACAAACUUUUGAGAUCUUUUUGGCCUCGCGAAAAGUGUUCCUCAUCACUCUACUCACAUGUCAGUUGUCGCCACUACGAAAUGUAUCUGAAGAUGUUUGGUAGUACGUACCUGUGAGCAGCAAUCAUGAUCAGUUGAUCAUCUCAUGAUCCAUUCUCCUAGUUUUUAGUCGAAAAAUUUGGCAUGCUCAGGAAAUUUGAAGAUUUUGUGUGGCAAUGUAGUCGCACACAUAAGUAAUUCACCGGCAUCACAAGUGUUCUUCGCAGGUGAUCAUCUCUGCCGACCAAUGCUCGCAAAGCGACUAGACGGCAGCCGUAAAACGUGUUCAUCUUCAUGAGCACACACUUUCUCGGCUGGAAGAGACCUAGGACGAACCUGGUAAUCAUUCCAGGAGCCAGCCAGUUCCAUCACUCAUUUCACUCUGCGCGAACUUUUCGUUAAUCAGCAGUAGGACUGUACUGUGACUACAUCAUUACGAAGAUCUGGUCGUGCUACUCUGAGAAGGACUUGAGUUACUCCUCUUGACCGGGUGCAGACAAAAAAAUGUUGGACAGCAAAGCAAUUGAACCACGCCAGUCAAUCAGGCUGAGAGUUGGUAUGAGGAACUUUCAAGCAUCCCUUUCGGCAAGCCAAUUAUUGCGCGCAAGCUUUUCACAGAUUUGAGACGAGCAGAGGGUUUGAAUCUUCAUCAUUCAUCAAAGACCACAUCAUUCAUACCAUUUUACAAAAUAUCUACGAAAGAUUUGAAGCAGGUUUUGUGCAAACUACUGAAUGGCACACGAGCAUGAUUGUGGUAUGAGCAGAUUGCGGUAGCACAUCUUAUUCGGCAACACUUGUAAGGUGUAGCACAACAAGCAGACUCGAUAGCAAACAUGCCGAUAUGCUAGUGCACAUUCAACGAGCUUCAACAGCUUGGUUUCCACCUCGGUUGAUGAUUCUAUCGACAUACUCCUUCCUGAAAUCAUGAGAAAGUUUCAUUAAGUCAAAGCGAACAGAGGAUAAAGUGGGCGAUGAAAGGGGAAACGAGAAUCCAAGAAAGAACGUAUGGAACAUAAUAAUGCUGAAUUUUCAGAGUUCAGACAUAGGUACCUAGCCGGGAGAUGGUCAUGGGGGCGAUUGUAUGGCGUCCAAACAGGCUCUCCAACAAAGAGACGCAUUGCCUGCACAAGCCACAAACAUAAUAAGAAAAAUCCCAUUCAACACCUUGAUUCACUAAUGUUCGUUAUUCUAUAUAGCUUAUUAUGGAAGAUUUAAGAUGUGAUCAGGAAAUUUGCAGGAGUGGCAUAACACAUAAUUCAUAUCAUAAACAAGAAAAUUGUCCCUCUGGAAUUACAUAGGCGUUUUCUUCCACUUAAAAUAAUUGUAGCCUAGUGAAUACUUCAAGAGUGAAUAACAUAUAUAGCUACAUGCAGAAACAUCAUUGUUUAAUCAAUUUAGACAACACCAGAUUAAGAAGACAAAAAGCCGUAGUGGGAACAGGGAAACAAGUCAAAGAUACCUUGAUGUAGUUGUCCGUAUCCAAUGUAAAGCGGUGAUACAUUCCUGCAGGCAGAACAAUCAUGCCUCCUUUCUUCACUGCUAUGCGGAUCCACUGAUCAUUUUGGUCCCUCACGUCAAAGUAGCCUUUAAAACACAUAAGAGAAGCAGUUGUGUAUGUAAAUUAGAUAAAAAGGAAAUAUCUUGAUUGUUACUGCUCUAAAUGCAAACAAAAGGCACCUACCGCUACCCUCAAGACAAUAGCGUAUCUCUUCAUCAGUAUGCAAGUGUUCUUCAAAGAAAUUCUUUAUCUUAGCCUCAUAGUUUGGCAACUUCUCUGGACACACAUCACAAAUGUCCUGCAUAAGGAAAAUGUUUAUCAUACUAGUUUGAAUAGGAAUUGACCUUGCCACUCUAGAUAGAAUCUAACGAAAUAAGUAGCCAGAGAAAAACUUAUUGGCGAACCACGUAAGAGUAACCCCUGGCUUCACGAAUUUGCUUGAGGUUUUCAUCAUUCUCCCAGUCAUCAGCAUUUAGACGCCAGCUUAAUAUUCCUAGCUCUGGGGGUCCAAGAUGGUAACAUUUCAGCAUCAGUAAGUCUAUCAAUAUGUCAUAUGGAUUCAAGAUUAGAGCAGGACAUGCACAAACCUGAGAGUUUGUCAAGAGGGAUGAACUCUUUGGGCUCACGAUGAUGUGGAAGCCUCUGGUCCUCUUCACUCUCAUCCAUGUACCAAGCUUGGAUGACCUCCUCCUUGCCAUCCUAUGUUGAUAAUAACCAUUAAAACAAGAUCACAUAGUUAGGAUGCAUUCUGACAAGCACAAGCAUGUUCGGAGAAAGGAACCAUGACCUAGAUUACCCAAUCGCCAUGUUACAAAAUAUAUGAAUCAUAAUUCAUAACCAGUGCAGAAUUGUGACUUGUGUAUAUAAGCAAAUAUGAGGCUUUGGCAAGCUUAAUGCAAUUAUGAAUUAACCAAACACCUAAUGCAGUUCAUACUGUGUGCUAAGACUCGUAUGGUGUCUAACAUUCUCAGGAGUUUAAAGAAUAUAUUGAACUGUGCAUGUUGCAUUGCUCAAGACUAAAAAUUUACAGUGUUCAACCAAGGCAGGUCCUUAGGACCAUAAGCUCUUAGGAUUAAUAUCAGUGAUUAAUUUCUACGAUCUGUACUAACUUAUUCUGCAUCGGACUCAACAACAAGUUGUGCAACAAGUAGAAGUAAAAACUAAAAAGAGCCAUGAUGUAGCAAUAUCCAAUCACCGUACUAUCUUUCUGGCUUUGUGUUUGCACCAUAAUUCAAAUCAAUGCAGAAAUAGAUGAAUUAUAAAAGAAAAAUAUGAUAUGCACCAUAGUGACAACACGAACUAACCAUCAUCAAUGCACGGUACCACAGGUACUCUACUAAUUUAACUUAACAGUCGCUGUAUGCUAAAACCCAAAUGGUCAUCUCAUAUUCUCACAGGUUCAAGAAAGGCCCCACUAAAACUUAUUGCUCAAGAGGUGAGGUCAGAGGACAUUAAGCUUUUAGGAUUGAUGUCCAUUAUUUAUGGUUAUGAUCUUGACAAACCUAGUACGAAUUGGACCCAGCAAAUGUAGUUCUACAACUGGAUGCAAAAAGGAAAAAAAAUAGAACCAGCACCCAGCUACUACUUUUAAGUUAUACUAUAAGACUUGAGGGGCCAACAACACACUUGAGGGGGCUCUUUACUCUACCGAAGAAAUGGGAGAUGCUACUGAAGUACCUGAAAUAGGACUUGUGUCGGUAUGAUGAUGACAGUGCAAAGCUUUGUCUGGUGGACAAAUUACAACUUGUCACGAUCUUAAUUACUCCAACCGUUUAAUUUACUAGGAUACUACUGCAACUUCUAUAUAUUAAAGUUUAGGGUUGCUUUACGAUUACUCAGACAGUCAGACUGUGUGACCAUCGUGUCCAGGCUAAUCUUAUUCCAAGAUCCCACUUUAGCAUGCCUCAAAGCCCUAAUCAGCGAAGAAGUUAACCGAAAUGGAUAUAUCAAAUCCAAACCUAAUUUCACAUGGAUAGUCUCUCCAUCCCCAACUCUAUAGAAAGUUAGAAACCACCUCGAAUAAUUUGGGAGGAAUUCCAAGUCCCAUCUAUCCGGGCUUCGAUUAAAACAGGCGUAUUUCUGCUAUUAACAACCAAAUCACGAACCGGGGCAAUCGAAUCGACAAAAACCCUGAGGAAACAUGAGCGGAACAGAAUAUAUAUUUCCUGACGCCAAAUUCAUCAACGUCUCAGUUCAGGAACAAGAACGUGGAAAAGGAUUCGAACAGAGAGCUCGCGGUACCUGGAACUGGUCCUCCAUAUCGGCAGUUUGUGUGCGGUAUCGCUUGCUCUUUGCCUGCCUUCGUCUUUCUCGAAUCCUCCCGAAAGCCUGGAAUCUGAAACAAGGGGCCUGCGUUUCUUAUGAACUGCUUGGACUGAACGCAAAUCGGCACUUUUGUAGAUUGCCCCCCGCAGUUCUUCAGUUUAGAUAGAUCCACCUUUUAAUUUACAACAGUAGCUUGUCUUCAGCUUUGAAAUGAGGAUUCGGUACAUGUUGAAUCUUGCAGAAAUUUGUGGUAAUAUAUUUGGAUCCGUAAUAUAUUUAUAUUUACUUAUGUUAUUUGAUUAGAAACACAUUCGACUUCUAGUUUCUUUACGUACGUUUAGACUAUGGCCUAAGUCGUCAAUAUUGUCAAUUUGUCAUGGCGGCAUCAAGGUAUGAAAUUCCCCGACUCCUACAAUAAGUUUUCACUUGAAAUUUUUAUUGAUUUCUAUUGCUACACGCUCCCAAAUGGUCCAUCACUGCAAAUUCGAGUAAAAUGGUUCUGAGAGGGUACGGUUGCAAUUGUUGUUGUAUCAAGGGCUGUGACAGAAAUGUGUCUAAUUCUAAUUAGCAGCAUGAACCAUGAUGGCACAAAAAAUACCAUGACGAUGUGCUGGCAACAUUGUCGCGUUGAACACGUAAAGACAAAAGUUUUCUAACAUUGAACAAAGAAGAUAAGGCCAAGGGCAGUCAGACCAUAGAAAAGACAAAAACGGGUGCAGGUGUGCUCGCCUGAUGGCCGCAUGAAAUCCGCUGCGCCUCUCUCCGGACGGUCACGAGUCAUCAUGAUUCACGAAGUCGUGCGAUGCCUUCCCGGCGGCGUUCGGUUCCAGUUUAUUUAUAUUUAUUUUUAGUACUGAAUGUUUAGAUACUAAUUAGAAAUAUUAAACAUAGAUUAGUUACAAAACUUAUUAAUUAGAAGUAUUAAAUGUAAACUAUUUGCAAAAAUCCAUUACACAGAUGGAGGCUAAACGGCGAGAUGAAUCUGUUAAGCCUAAUUAACCCAUCGUUAGCAAAUAGUUAAUGUAGCAGCACAUUGUUAAACUUAAUUAGUUCAUGAUUUGACAAUGUGCUGCUACAGUAACCAUUGUGUUAAUGAUGAUUAAUUAGGCUUAACAGAUUCGUCUCGCCGUUUAGCCUCCAUUUGUGCAAUUAAUUUUAUAAUUAACUCAUAUUUAGUCAUCCUAAUUAACUUUCAAAUAUUCAAUGUGUUCAAUGUGAUAAGGAUUAAAUUUUAGCUUGAGCAAUCAAACCUCGCCGUAAACGGCUAAACGCAAUACACAAUGGCUCGCUGCCAUAAGGUCCAAAUGUUUCCUCCAGAAGAGUUAAAAAUUCUUAACUUAUGUUUUGAUAGGUUUUAGUAGAUUUGAACUAGCAAUAUUUUUUUUGAGAGGAGUAGAUUUGAACUAGCAAAAUGGGGAAGAGAACGGGGUGUCACGUUCCCUGCCAGAUGAAAAGCCCAAACCUAUGCGGUACCGCAGGCUUUUAAUGGGCCUUUCUGUAGAAGGCCUGCUACUGGUCCUCUGCAAGGGCCUCCUGCGACGUCGCGCGGCCCAUGCUGCUACUAGGCCCAAAUAAAGUUUUGGCCCCAAGUGUUUCUUUGUUCCAGAAUCAACCAGUUGUGUUUUUCUUUUGAGGAAAUCAGUCAGUUGUGGUUGAUUGCUGGCUUUAGCUGCUGCUACUAUUUUUUUUUCCAGCAGAGAACAGGGAAAAAAACGACGGACGAGAACAUUCAUCUCAAGGAGAUCCGAUGCCAAUCCCUGAUAACCCCUGCUCGAAAUUUUUUCUUCUUGCCAAGUCAGGCUACCUGCGCUUCACGGUUCAGGCGCCCUUGUUCUUUCCGGAAUCGGCUCAUCGACACGCAUGACAACUGGCUACGCGUGCGUGCCCGAUCCGUGAAUGGAAUGGAACGCAGGGCACAGCAGCCGCUGCGCGCUGAACGCGGCAACCCUUCGCUCGCAGUCCCCGCAUGCCGCAGAGACUCAAGCUGGGCCGCCAUGGCUGCCUGCCUCUCUGUGGCCGCAGACAUGCAGGCCGCAGCUGCAGCCGCGACGUCAUGUCUCUCGCGAUAUUCACCGCUGGCUAGCUGACAGCCACCCUUACUUACACGAGGACGGCAAGCGACGCCGACGUGCGUCGCCGAAGCUGCCAGCGCCCAGUUCGGGAACGGGCACGCCAGGUACAGGCAGGCGCACCCUCGCCGCGGGUCUCCUGGUCGCCGCACGGCACCGGCAGGGCGCGCGUGCGUGACCAGUCCCCGUCGUCGAAGCGAUGUGUUCCGUCUCGAGCUCUCGAUGCGUGCCUGCGAGCCUGGGACUGUGCCAUGCGUAUCUGCUUCCCAGAGGACGUGCAGGCGGCGGUUCACUACUGCCGCUGUCCGCUGACAAGGUGAUCUCCGAUAAGAUCUCGUGCGCGCUACCUGUAAAGCAGGCCGGCCAGUGCAGUGCAUCGUUGUGAAUGUGAUGAGCAGCUGAAGACACAAUAAUUACUGUUGCGAGGAAACCAAGAUUGAUGAGUAAAGAAAUCAAUCUCAUCGUGAAUUAAUUAAUUAAUUAAAGAAGAAGAAGAAGAAAGGCCGGACGGUGUAUGUGUAUUGCACGUAGCCACGUAGGCCCUCCCGGGUCCUGGACCUUUUGUACGCACGGACAUUCUCGCCAUGUUCACGAACAGUGCGCGCGGUACGUGCACGUGCUUGCCUGCUUGGGACGACACGGACACGCGCCACGCGCACACGCAAGUAGUGAUGUGGCGCAGGCAAUGGCAUGCGUGCGUGCACAUUGAUUUGCAUGUGUUCGUAUAAAGCUUUGUUGCAUCGCCGAUAGCCUCAUGAAUUCGAGCCACUCCGAGCUGAGUAGCCAGCAUGCACGCAGCGCCCGUGCGUCAGGACUCGAUCAGGAUUCAAGGACCCUUGCCCUUCUUGUUUCAUCCUCGGCGCCGGGCCGCCGGCGGUGUGGACCAUCGGGGCUCUGGCCGGACCUGCAUCAGGCAAAGAAGAGGAAAUUAAGGAACGCACGGCCACGGCAGGCCGUGGGGGUGGUUGCAGGUCAGUAAUUGUAGCAGCUGGGAUCGGAGGCUCGCGUGCAUUCAUUGGUUGGACGAAGCGGCAGCAAGAUGGAGGGGUAGAAGGGUGAGGCUGUAGUACUGGCAUGUCAAGCCGGCGAUGAUGAUGCCACCGGAAUACUCCAACAGUGUCCACGAUCUGGUACGUGUUGGCCCUUUGGCUGGGGAGAAGAGAGAAGACUGGUCAAGAUCGAUCGACGAUUCGAUGGAGGUGGAUGCUUCGCGACUUGACCCUGGCGAUGGAUUCGAGUCCCAGCGUGGCGUGUCCGAGUCGAUGUAUGCUACAGCCAUGCACGCGAGCAGGCUGUGAGAUCGAGUGAACAAGAGCUUGGUAAUGGUAGCCGCGCGUGGAGUGCAGAGUAUACGUACUAGCACGAACAGUGUCCACCACUAUACGUGCGGCCGGCCAAACCCAAACGCCAAACUUAUACCGUCGCGUCAUCUCAAACAUUGCGGCAUGUACGUGCGCGCGUACGACGCACGUGCCCUCGCGCACUGUGCGCUGUGUUCCGUACGUGUAUGUAUAUGUAGGCAGGUCGUAGCCUCUCGUAGCUGCCGUAUACUUUUGCAGAACUAUGCACGUCGUACGUAGCAGCUGCAGCUCAUCAUGAUGUUUUUGCCGUGCAUACGACGACGACGACGAGCUCACCAGUCCACCAAAACCAAGCGAGCAUGAGUGCAUGAAUAUGGGUCCUGGCCGGCGAUGUUUUUUGCGUGGUUCCAAAUAGGUUUUCCACUGUGUGUGGGCGUGGCAAAAACCAGUGCUAAUCGUUGUACCCCUCGUGCUCCCUGCACUGUUGCGCUGAGUUGAUGCGUGAGCCACACAUACAGCAGACCUAGCUACCACUCGCCCAAAAUCGGGCCAUGAACUUGUCACCUCCGACGAAAGGCGCCCAUGACUCUACUCGUGGAACCCGAGCCAUCCAUGAAUCCAUGAUCCAUCCGUCCCCCGACCGACGCGCUCGAUCAACCCGCCGCCAUGUUGAUUGGCGCGCGCCCGGGACGGGAGCGUGCGACACCGCGCGACUCGAGUCCCCGAGUCCGUCCAUUGGGCGGCGGUGCACCGAGCACGGUUGCACAAGGUCCAUGAGUCCACUGGUUGGCGAGCGGAGGAGAGGGCCCACGGCGCGGCAGGGGCACAGGAUGCCGCGCCCCUCGUGCGUCCCAUGCCGAAGUGACAGAAACGACCCGGGCAGGCACAUGGAAGGCCCACGUGUCGGGGACGUUCCACGCUCGCGCGCAGAGCAGCUGGUGGGUGUGGUCCCCCCUGGGCGGGCAGGCCUUGCUGGUGGUGGACCCGCUUGCGACCGCACGCUCGGCCCGGUCAAGACCGUUCCAGGGCCCCUAUUCGCACUGGGCCGGGAGCCUUCUUACCCCCUGCUGCACAUCCGUAGACCCGGUCCACGAGCCUCUCUCUCGUUCGAGAAUGGUCAACCACGGUCAAGCACCAAGCUCUCGCUUCCCAGCUGCAGUGGCCUGUGUGGGAGUGCCGCACGUGGGCCUGGCCCGCGGGUAGGCUCUCUGGUGGGGCCGGGGAGUGUUGAGAGAUUGGCGGUGUGGCUCCCACGCCGUUCACCGUUGACCGGUCCACUGCACGCCCGUUGGACCGGGCCCACCGUACAGUAGGUAGGCUGGCUGGCUCUCCGCUCCGGUGCGCGAGCACUCCAUUUUUUUUCCCCGUCCCAGGCUCCCAGCCGCCCAGGUGGCCAGGUCCCAGCGCUGCGCGGAUGAGCCUCCUCUGAGAGGAGCUUGUCCCACUGACAUGCAGGUCCGAUUGUGAUUUCGGCCAAAAACGUCAGUGAGAGGUAGCUGCGCUGGGCCACGGCAGCGUGCGUGCAGCACCCGAACAAAAAAAUCACAGACUGAAAAAGUGAAGGGAACGGACAGGUAUGGCGCGCACCAGCUGCUUCCAUACCCGUCUCACGUGACCACGGCCGGAAGGAGAGAGAAGCCACGCAGCUACCGUAGCUUCUGGCGUAGUGGCACGCACGUACAGCGAGUCUCGUCGUCCAUCACACCAAAGCCACGGCCCAGCCACUCUCGAUCGUUCCAUGCAUUGGCGGGGUCCAUGCGCCAGUACGUGGGUGCGUCUACAUGCAGGCGCGGGUCCCAGAGUCAGCCUCGUCCCACGUCGUAGGAGUACUAUUUCUAAUGAAGCCUACCACUGGGCUAGCUGCUAGAGCCCUAGCCCUACUGCUCGCCAUGCAUCAUGCAUGGCUCACUGGCCCCUCCGGUGCACGUCCAGCCGGCUCUCGUACGUGCAGCUGGCCGGGUGGGGAGGGCGGGAUCUUCCAACGUGUGGGAUCGGUGGCCGCGGGUCGCUUGACCCUUUUCUGGCCCGAUGCAAUAGCUGAGCUAAGAGCUAGGCCGAUCGAUCCAUGCAUGUGCCGCUGUUUCAUUUGAUCCAGCGACAUGCAGGGUUGCUUUGAUCGUUUCGAUGUGACCGAUUGCCCCCGCCCGACGGGAACCCAUUUGCGGGGAUCCAAUAAAUCAUGUUUCAUUCAGGUACGUGCGUACUAGGCCGGGUUAAUUGUGUCGCAUAUGGUAUUUGGGUCGUUACCAAGAUCUCUCCGUGCAAUCUUUCAAAGGCUCUACUAUGUUUAUAGAAAAACUUUUGACCCGAACAGGUUUAGCUGCGUAAGUUUCAUACAAAAUUCCAGCACGUCCAUGCAUAGGACUAUAGGAGUUUAUCAUCUAGUGAAACAAACAAGAUAAAAAGGGCGUGACGGAUAGCUUUCGCCAGAACCAGUCAGUGUUAAACAUUAAGGGUCAAUGGCCUUCUGGGAUUAUCACAGCAGGGUUGUGCUCUGUGUUGUUAAAGAAAGGUGUGUGUGAAGGUGACCGGCUUACAAUGCAGCCUUUUUUUUUCUUCGAGAAAGAUUACAAUGCAGUGCUGCUGUACCAUGAAUGUUGAAUCUGUGCCUGUUGCAAUUCACUACAUUUUUAUUUAUAAGUAAAUUGCACCCUCCAUACAAUAACUUGUUAGCUUGUAAAAUGCUCAAUUUAGUACAAUAACUUGACAUGUAGGUACGGAUUAGUCAACAAGUUGUAAAAUAGCUAAUUUAGUACAAUAACUUUGCAAAUCAGUGCACUUACAGUCCGACAUUACAACAAAAACGUAUUAAGCAAAAUAGGGACCCUAGGACCUCUAUACUUUUGCUUAUGUAUUCAAUAUUUGUAUACAAGCAUGUUUGUCUCUGUCUUUUAGCUUAUUUUCCCUUUAUAAAUAACUACAUGAGGCUUUAAAAAUAUUUAUGCUAAAUUUCUAAAAGGUAUUGUUAGUACAUAUUAAUAUAUUAGUUUUUUAGCUGAGCAAUACGUAAAAUCAAAGAUGUGAACUUAUUAAUACUGAAUAUGGAAUUUAAUAUUCCUAAUCAAAAUUAAAUUAUUGUAUAAAAUAAUUAAUAUGAAGACAUAACAUUAGUUUCCUAAAAAUAUGUUCCUCGUUUUAACAUUUUGACUGCAGAUGCGCUAAGUUAUCAAGUUAUUGCAUUAAAUUGAACAUUUUACAAGUUGUUGGCACACCCACCUAUCAAGUUGAACCAAUCUUGAUAGUUUAUUGUGCUUUUCCGUAGGUGGUCGUGGCGACAGACGUGAUGUCUCAUAUACGCCUUUCGCUUAUGGGGGUAGACCGGGGCACCUGCGAUUAGCUACAAGUCCUAUUUGACCACCACCGAAGCUACUCGUUGCCGGGCUUGUUGGAUCGACGAUCGAACAACCGACCGGCCGGGCAAGCGACGACCCCGCCGUCCUCGCGCGUGUACCCUCUCGGUCGAUCGGCCUCUCACGUCGGCUUCGCCUUUCGUGCUCCAGCGUGCCGGCCUGGCCUUUCCAAGCCGCGCGCGCGCAUUGAUUGGCUCACCUAAAACAUUGCGAUCUGGGCGGAGUUGUUAGGAAAUGUCACGGCCAGUUGAUUUGACGGCUCCCUUCUCGGGGCACGUACGGCGUGCCGCCAGCAUAGGAGUGUAGGACGCCCGCUGCAUCCGAUCGAUCCAGACUGAUCGAUCGUGUGCGCGCGCUCUGCUCUGCGGUGCCAAGUGUGAAAUGUGCACAUCGACGCACGCAGCCUUCCGGUUUUGCGAUUCAGGUUGGCAGUGCCAAGUGUGAAAUGUGCACAUCGACGCACGCAGCCGUCCGGUUAGUAGAUUUUAAAAUGCCUUCCGGUUAGUAGAUUUUAAAAAAAUUGGAUUUUAGAUGGAUUUUCAAAAUCUAGGCAAAAUCUGAAUGGUUUUGUUUGGAUCCCUGAGUUCUGAUUUUAUGGUUGUUUGUUGGAUAGAUGAUUUUUAUGCCCUCGCUACUAUUUGUUGCUCAACUUGGGAGCAUUAAAUAAUUACAUGGAAGGAAGAUGGGCAAAAUGGUAAAUUUCAUGUGCAAAAUCUGAUGGAAGUAACCGUGAGCAACUUCUAGGGUUCUCAAAAUCUAGAAUUUUGGCUUCCCCAAAAGCUGCCCCCGUUUGGAGGCUUCUUAGAUUGUAGCUUCUGAAUUCUGAGAAUCCGCCCAAAUCCGAACAGGGCCUUAGAUCCUAGCUACGUGUAACUUUAGUGAAAAAGAAAUACCUCCCUAGUAAAAUGGCUAGACUCACUAUUUGUAACUUUAAUUUCUUUGUUGCUAUUCUUAUUCCUUUUAUUGAGAUAUAACUCCCUACAUAGUAAUCAUCCCGGAUGGAUCUCACUCGGGAUAGUUUUUAACAAGGCAGUGCGUACCCAUCCGCAGCAGGCUACGACGGCGUUCAGCGGAGGAGUGUUGGAGCGGACUCAUUAGCAAGCUCAACAAGAAAAGAGACACAUGUUCCACCAUAAACAAUCAAUUAAAAAAGGUAGCCGUUUCAUGAAGAACAACAUCUCCCAAGAAUGCACAAGUUAAGAACUGGGGCGGGGGGGGGGGGGGGGGGGGGCCCUUAACCCAAGAACGAAAAAAGCAACGUACAUGAACGAAAAUGCUAGCAAACUCUAACUCGUCGACCAUCAUCUUCAUCCUGUGCUGGUCGUUGCUACAGGCAGCAGAGAAUGUGCUUGAUGAAGACAACCUCCGUGGCUCGUCAGCGCAGCAUGGCGCCUAAAAGAUAUAUGGUUUUGUUUCACUAAAUACCGACCUUAUUUUUCAUGAAUCAGGAAGGUUCGCACCCCUACUGAUUCGGUUGAGCCAGCUGCGGCUCGACUGCAAAUGCAGAUGCAGUAGCCAGCCAGUCAAUAGUCAGUUUUGAGCAACAUUGGUUAGAAUAUAUGAUUUGGGAUUUCUUUUCUUUUUGACAAAAUAUAAUCAGGCUGUGCAGCCGAUCGGUUGUAGUGUUGUAUAGCUACAGCCGUAGCCAAACAGCUACAAGAAGCUAAAGUGAAGGCCGAAAGAAUUAAAGUUACAAAAGGAGUUUAGCUAUUUUACUACGUAGAUGAGGUAUUUCUUCCUCCCUUGAUGGAUAACUAUAGCGAAUUCAUGCCUAAAGGUACUCGUAGCUAAAUUUGGGCUGGGAUGAUGUUGUUGGAAGAUAGGACCAUUUCUUUCUUGCCAAAUGCUCCACAUUCUCUCACUCAUGUCUCUUCUCCACAUUAUAAACAUCGUUCGUGCAUCAUGAGAUAACCUGUAAAAACCAAUAACGUGUGUACUUGCAUAAUCUUAUCUUCGACUGUCUGCAAAGCGCAGGGUCUUGCUGGUAAAAACACGAGACCUGCCGCAUCGUUCUGAAAAAAGCCGGCGGGCGGCCGUCCAUGGAGUCAGAGCACGCACGUACCGAUCAGGCGGUGCACACGGCACGGCAACGCCACCGGCCAGCCAGCACACGCCGUGCCAGGCCCCGGCCCGUCACGAAUCGCGAGGCGGAGCGCCGCGCCGCGCUCGACCCCACCCCGCCCAUCCAGACUGCGAGCCGAAUUGCUGCGCCCCCCUGCCCCCAAGGGCCAGGCGCACGAGGGGGCGCCGAGGGAGCCCUGCCCACCCGCCCGCACGCCGCGACGCCCGAGCGCCACCAAAACCAAAGGAAACCUUCCCCGCAGGGCCCAGGCCAGAGGCCACCACCACCUCCUCCUGCUCCGCCGCUCCGCUCAGCUCGCGCUAGCUGCUCCAAAUAGCAAACGGAGAGGAGCCAUCCCGCCCACCCGCCCGCCGCGCCCCCAGACUACCACCACCCCCAACCGCAGACAGCCUCCCGUCUCUCUCUGAAGUCUGGAUCCCUCGCUCCCUUGCCUCAGCGAGUGCACGCACGGUCCAUGCGUGCGAAUUGACUCGCGCACACACGCCAUUCACUCACUCCAUCGCUCUCUCUUCUUCAUCAUUAGCUCGCUCGGCGCUCAGCUUCUUGUCAGGUACAGUGCCUCGCUUCGUCCCCGAGCCCGGCGCUGCGGGCGCCGCGGCAGCGCCGGCGAGAUCUGGUCCUGGUCGAGCUAUCACGGGCGCGCGCGCGUCCAUGGGCUGGCCGAGCCGCAGCGGCCGGAGCCGGCGUCGGACCCUCUCCGCCGCGCUGCUGCUGGUGGUGCUCCUCCUCCUCAGCUCCUCCGCUCCCGGUACUGUCACUCAUACAGCACAUGCCGAGUCUAUGGCAGUUCACUUGCAUUAUUACCAGCUCACAUGCGUGUCUUUUCUCGCGCUCUGCAGGGACGUGCACGUCGGCGAGGGGGAGAGCCGGUCGGGUGGCGCCGGAGGAGGGGUACUCGUGGGAUCCCGGGACGACGGCGGCGCGGCGGGGGCUGGUGGGGCCCGGGUCGUCGCCGCCGACGUGCCGCAGCCGGUGCGGGGGCUGCCACCCGUGCCGGCCAGUGCACGUGGCCAUCCAGCCCGGCCGGAGCUUCCCUCUCGAGUACUACCCGGAGGCCUGGCGCUGCAAGUGCGGCAACAAGCUCUUCAUGCCCUGACCCACCGCAAGCUGUUCAUGCUGACGCUGACGCUUCGCUCACUCACUGAAGCUAGCUAGACACUCCUCAAGGCAGCAGCUGCGUCGCCAUGGCUGCUGGUGGCUGCACUGCACGCAGGGGGUUAGCCGGCUAGGUGUACUACUACUACUGGUGGAGACUGUGAGACUAUGAGAGACGUGGAAGAGAGCACGGCAAGGAAGAAGCGAUUUGAUUGGAAGAGGAGACGAGGGUGAGGAGAUUUGCCCGAGAAACUAAGCUAGCCAUGGAUGGAGGCUUCGAUUCUAUCAGCUAGGGAUUGAACGAACAUUGCUGGGCUGAGUUCUUGGAGAUUGAUACGAAUGUAAUCCGUUGUAAGUAACCGGUUGUCUGUUGUGUGUACAAAGAGAGAUGCCGAUGUCGCCAUUUUUGUUCUUCUUUUUCUGUCUUUUCGCUUCCUGCUGUUUGUUCCAGACUCCCUUUCGGUUCUGGGGAUUUCCCUGCGAUUAUGAUCUGUGCUGUGAACUUCUUGAUACCCCGGACAUAACGUUGAUCAUCUUGUACUCGUAAAAUUUCCUAAAUUUUGUCACCUCUUUGAUCCGGAUCCUGCCUGGUUUGUUUUCCAAAAAAAAAAAUCUGUUUGCUCUGGAUGGAGGGAUGAUCGGAUGAGACCUGAAACUACUUCCCUUCAGGUUCUUGCCGUGUUCUUGUGGGAGGUGCAUCCAUGCAGUUAGGCAGCACUCAAAUGAACCAUUUUUUUCCUCACUUCAACUUUAUUUCAUCAAAAUUCCCCAUCGAAUGAACAACCUAAAGUUUGGAGCAGAUGCGUGACAGAGUAUUUGGUUUGCAGCACAGAUCGAUUGACGACUUGAGGUAGCAUCUGAGUGCGCAGAAAACCACAGAAAAGCAGCUCGAGCCAACCCCCUCAAAGAAGAGAAUGGAAACAGUGGCUCGGAUAACAGGAGGUUGUAGGCGUACAGUACUGGAACCCAGCUUUUACAGAAGCUAGAAAUAAAGGGGAAGGGAAGCGAGCCUGUGUGCAUAUACAAUGUCAAGGAACAGUGAGCUACGCUGGUCUUUUCCUCCUCUCUGGCAGUGGCACUAAUUUAUGUUACUGCCACUGCUGGUUCUGCUUUACUCACGUCAAAUCAGCAUAAGUUCCCUAGAGAGGCCCUGGCCUGGCCCGAGAGAAAAUGGAGUCAGUAUUCCAGAUGCCAAUGCUUUUGUUUUUGCUGCAUACUGAAUACGCAUUUGUUUACAUGAGCUAGGGUUAUGAUCUGCAGGCCUAGGGCAAGCUAGUUCAAUCAUCGCUGCAUUAUAAUCCUUCCCGUCGCAGGCUAGGCUGCAUUUUGUGUCAUUCAGGCACGCACCAUGAGGCCAGCAGCUGCAGCUUUGCGAAAAUGGUGGCUUUUCUCCUCGCCUUGAACAUCUGGUCAUUCCUCUCGCCUUGGACGCUUCAAAUUUGGAAACAUACAUUAAACAAUUCUUGGGGCUGCGAUCGAAAAGCAGAUAAGAAAAUUUUCUGGGCAUGGUUACUCCUGUGUCAGUGAUUGACACUGAGGCUUGUCCGUGGGCAUUUUUAAAAGCCUACUGUGAAGCUGGCCGGAGAUGGUACAAGAGGUCCUAAAAAGGGUUACAGCUUACGACGCUGAAAAGCUUACAGCUCCCUCAAGUAAUAAUGCGUCACUCUCAUUUCGUAGCUAGGGUACAGCUGCUGCUGGAUGGUGGUAAUUUACUAAAAACUGCUGCUCUUUUACAAAGAUAAGUAAAAAUGAAGAUGCUAUGCUGAGAAGUAAGUAAAGUACAAUACAGUAGGAGAGCAAAAUCUGUGUGCUUGUGCAGUCGGUAAUGCUCCCCUGAAAAAUAGGGUUCUUGGAAGAGCUUCUAUAGCCAGGCCCCAAGUUUUUCUCUCAAAAAGAAAAGGGCGUGGGCACCUUCGCAGUUUGCGCCGGCGCAGCUGCCAAAGCUUCACCUGUUGGCUUUCUAACAGUAUUCUUGGGAGUGAGGUUGCUUGCUCUCACUGCAACACGCUCUCGCGCUGUUGGUGAGUAGUGCAACCACUUCCCUGAUUCCCUCCACGCAGAACCAAGAGGAACAAGAACACGGAGCAGUAACAAUCUGAAGAAACCAAGUGGUGGUGACACAGAAUCGAGCAUCUUUCUUUGUCCAAGAAGGGGAGUGUGAUACAGGCGAGCUUCUGUAGCUUGGAAACAAGGCGAGUGAUCUUCGUGUCUCGGAGCGCAAUGUGCACUGCUGUUUGGAGAACCAUGAUGGCAUGAUGGACAGCAACAACUCAGCUGUUAGCGUUGUCAGUCUCACUGUACAAAUGAGUUCAUAUUGGAUGGAAGCAAACAGUAGGGUUGUGAAUAUGCAGCCUUUUUUGUUGGCAUUGUCAAAUCUUUACUACUGUGUCUAACAUUUUAGCUUGUCGAGUGACCGGAAACAUUAGAAGUUUCUACCUGUACAGAACUGGGAGAGACUGAAAGGCAAUGUUUCAAAAGAUUUGUGAAGCAACUAAGCAAGGCUAUUCUGCACCCUCAUAUAGUCAUAUGCGAAGUUUCAUUAGGAUUUUCUUUUUCCUUACAAUAUAAGCAACAGCUGCUACAGACGCUGAAACUUAGCUGCCUAACUUUUGCUCGCCACUUGCAAUAGCCACUUGUCACUCAGCAUUCAUCCAUGAUCUCCUCUUGAAUUCUGUUCAUCAACACAUAACACAUACUGAAAGAACGCUUCCAGCCCAAUGAUUGUUAUAUAAAGCCACGAAGGCCCAUGGCAGGGAAUCCAUAACAAAUGGGACCCAUGACAGACGAUAAGGCAGGCCUAGUUCUAUUUGGCCCAUAAAUAUCUCUACCCAUGGCCCAUUUGGCAUUUCGCUUCAGGGAACAUCCUUUUUUUUUUUGCGAAAUUCGCUUCAGGGAACAUCGGGAAGGAGAAAUAUUGUAUUUAAAAAAGAAUUUAAAAAUCUUAACAAGAAGUUCCAAGCAAGUAAGUAAUCCUAGCGGAGAUUUUUUUUUUGAAAAAUAACCUUAGUGAAUUUAAAUGCUUAUAAUGCUCUUUUUUUAAUUGUAACAACGAUUUACCUGAGAGGUCGCAGGCUAGGUGAUUAGAGAUUAGUAUCUCAUCAUAAUCUGAUCGAGAUGUUCAGGACCAGGCUAGGUGCAGCAACGCAGGCAUCCCAUAAACAGUAAAGUUACUCGAUUAUUCACAGAAACAUUUAUUCCACAUCCAGAUAAACUGAUCAAGUCUCUAACAUCUACAGUGGAAAUCAACCAUCAAAUGCAAUCCUGCAGCAGUAUAGCACACAUCCCAAAAGUUUAAUCCUAACAAGCUAUCAACUCUAUGCUGUCCCGUGGAUAAAAAUAGUCUAGGGCUACCGUGCGAUGCUCCAUCGUCCAUCUAUAUCACCUGACUCACGGCCAGUGAGACUAUCAGCAGCAGCGGCAUUAAAAUUCGCUGUGAAAUGGAUCCUGCAUAGUUAUAGGCAACGCCAGUAGAUCAGUUGUCUGAAUCUAUGCAUGAAAACACACAUGCAUACACUCAUUGACAUCUGAAAAGAAUUUUGUACCUGGCGCUGCUGCAAUGCCAUUGUUAGAAAUGCUCUCCGAGCUGGGUGGUGCAGGGGAUUUGUUGGAAGAGUUUGAGAAGGGAAGGAUCCCUAUUCUUGAGCAAUCUGCACCGAUGGAACCUGCAAGAGUGCCAUGAGUUAGCCGUUGUGGGAUUUGUUACGGCAGCCUCUGUGUUUGUAAGGUAAAUGGCUUGGAGCGUUUGAUCUUACAGUUCUGAAAGCAAGGCAAUGUGGUCAUGUUGAGAAGGUUGCUGUAACCCUCCUUGCACUCACAGUGGUAGCUGAGACCAGAGCCGUUCCUGCACGUGCCUCCGGUGCCACAGUAUGCUAAUUCACAUGCUGUAGGAACAAAAGGAUAGAGGCAGAAUUAAUUGAAUAAUUCAUAUGGCAUGUAAAUAUCAUGGUUACAGGCUUACAGCAGAAACAUAUAUUCCAGGACUAAUGAGAUGGGGCAAUUACGGUUGAGUGAGAAGUUUUUAGGUGCUGGCAAAGGCGUUGGUGCUGGUGCUGAUGAACCGUUGGAACAUGAGCUGUCAAUGGAACCUGAAAGGAAAUGUUAUCAUUUGAUCAUUUGAAAUGAUGUGAGCAUACAUUAACAAAGUUGUUGUCAGCACAAAAAAAAACACUGUCCCUUGGAGGGUAUUGAUGAAUAUUGCUGACAUCUGGUUAGAUACGUAUGUGGUAAAGUAAGAUAGAGGUAGCUGCAGAAAAAUCCUUGUGAAAUCACAUGAAGAUACAAACUGGUUUUAGUGUAUCCAGAUGGAGUAAUCUAAUAAAGGCAUUAUGUAAUUUUCAGCUGUGUUACUUGUGGUAUGAAAAGCAUAAAGCAACUCUGAAAACGAUACUAGACCCAAACACUCUAAAGAAAUCCAUCCUUUUUUCUUUCUGAUUGAGACGCGCCCUGAAUAUAAGAACUGCAUUCUCAAAAGAGACAGUAUAUGGAGCACGAAAUUGAAACGCCACACGCAUAGAGCCGGUCCAAUUAAGUUUGUAUGCGUUUAGACUUUGCCUGCAUACUUGCCAAAAAAUGAUGUCAAAUUUUGACUAGAACAAGACUCGCAGAACAUCAGCAGCCUUGAGUUACCACGGGAUAAAUCUGGAACAGACACAAUGCAUGAAGAGUGCAAGUACAGUCCCACACAUCAGGCUUUUUAAGAUGUGCCUAGUUUCCUGGAAUUUAGUCUUCCUAUCUAAAAUUCAGAUAUUCACUCCGAACAGCCUUUGAGCUGGCAGAAGCCGUACAUGAGCAAACUUUGAUACGCAGGCAGUAUGGUCUUAGCAUAGCUGUUGAUUAGUGAAUCACAGAAUCAGUGCCUACCACACUCCCAGUAUCCGUACACACUUCGACCAUCAGGGAGCACAAUGAUCGUAUCCUAACAACCAUACUGAAUUCACAUAUACUAAAACAAAGGUGCUGAUCAAGUGGUAUCAUCCCAGAUUAAAGGAGCUGGCACGCGGUUAUGCGCCGAAUCUGACGAGACAAGCAAGCAAUGGGCAGACGGUAUUAGCUGGCCUGGCCAUUCGCGACCCGUGAGCCUGCCGAACUACGCAACGCAGCACGCGACAGUGAACACAAGGAAAGCAGAACUCAUAUUCAAUUGGCACCCUACUUGUUGAAGAAGAAGAAGAAGAAGCAGCGAUUCGAAUGGCUCGGAACGCUGGUUCCUGUCAUACUUACAGUUGGGGAUGACGCAAGGCAGGAACCUGAGUUCGUCGCCGACGUGGAGCUGCGUCCAGCCCGGGUCGCACUCGCACCUGUACCCCAGCGUCCCCGGCGCCACCGUGCAGUUCCCCUUCCCGCACGCCACCGUGCUGCAGAUCGAGUCUGCUCGGGAUCAGACCGGAUCGUCAGGGAGCAGGAGCACCAACGACGGCCAAGACACGGACAGAGCAAGUCGGAGAGCGGAGGCUUACUGAUGACGGGCGCGAAGAUCGGGGCGAGCGGGGAGAAGAAGUCGUCGGCGGUGGCGGCGGUGACGGCGAGGAGCGCCACGAGCGCCGCGGCGCGCUGGACCCCUGCCGCGAGCACCAUCUCGGCUGGCUGGUUCCUCGGGCUCUUCGAUCUCUGCGCACGCGAGGCGGCGGUUGUGCUCGUCGUCGCUUUUCCGUGUGUGGGCGGUUGCGUUUAAGUGGGAGAGGCAGUUGGUUGGCAGGGCAGGCGGCGAUGGGCGUUUAUGGGAGAGGGGCCUUCCAGGAUUGACUCGCUCAGCGCCGAGCACAACAGAGGCGCAACGGGCAAAGUCAAAGCGUAUUUACCGGAUGGCGCCCGUGACAGAACCGUGACAGUGAGCAUGAACUACUAGUGCAGAGCUGACAGAUCUGUGAGUGGCUACUGGUUAGGACUUGGGAGGAUGGAGGGAGGGCGCGUAGCAUUUAAAUUUGCAAAGACGAUAUUUGGAAACCAUUCAUAAACAUGGACUGAAACUUUUGAUCAUGCGCGAGCUACUUUCUGAUCCAAAUUCCGUACCUCUCGCUUUCUUCUCUCUACUCAAGUGUUCAGCAAAAGCUCCUUCCUUUUGCCCCCCCCCCCACUAAACCAAGUUCACGAGCCAAAGACUGUUCUGACAAGCUGUGACGACUCGAACAUUCAUUCAUGCAUCCACGGGGGAGGGGAUGGGCCGAUGGCGAUGCUUAUCCUCUCAACGCUAAGCGCGUCCCGGAAGCACCAUGAUUCAAACACGAAAGCAACGCGGCGUGUUCGAUUGAUUGAUCCAAAGGUCGCCACCUGUACGCCCUGAAAAUGGACGUUAACAGUAAACUUUGUGAGUGUUCAUCUGCCAGAAAAUUAAAGGAGAACACGCUCGAAUAUGUGUCUCCCUUUAUCCACCCCAUCCCAUGAGAAGGACACCUGGGAGAGAAAAAAAAAGUCAAAUAAUGCGAGCCUCCGUGCUCUUUCACACGGCUUGUGCACGGGGUUUUUCGAUUGGUUAUCGUGAACCUCUCUCUCCCUACGAAACGAGAUGGCAUGUCCUGGAAACAUGCCAGGCGUCACCUAACCCAGUACUGUACUACUGUACAGUUUGGUGCUGGUGAGUCAACUUAACGAGGAUUUAGUCUGAGAGAAACUAGAGCAGGAUACACAGGAGACAUUUUUCUCCUUGGAAGAAAUUCAGAGCAGAGCUCUGCUAUUUGGCACUCUCUAUUUCUCUUCUUCAUGACGUUGGUGGAAUGAAUAGUGCUCAUAUGUUGUAUUGGGCUAUUUCACCACACGACCAUACAUAGUGUUGGGCCGUACUGUGAGAAGAAGUUGUUACGACGGCCCAACAUUUGCGACACCAUAUCUGGCCCAAAUAGGGCCCUUUUCUAAAUAUUCGGAGCACAUUCAUUCCGAGCAGGAACUUCUUUUUGUUUUUUUUUUCAAUCCAAUUGCUCUGAGAAGGAAAGGAACUCGCUUUGCUGUCAUCGUCAAUUCAAUUGCUUAAUUCCCAGCGAGCACCGACCCAUCAGUCAUCAGGAUCAGACAUGGCCGCUGGCGCCCGCGGAAAAGAGCAUAAAUGUACAAGUACAUCACGAAAGGAACAUGGCGAAAUUGCAGGACGGCCGCCUGCGCUAGCUUGCCGCGAAUGGAAUGGCUAGCACUAGCAGGCUAGGCAAAAAUAGCCGUAGGGUUCGCUCGCCACGCGCAAACGCCAAACCAGACCGCUGCAAGACGCGCUGCCACCCUAACUCUUUCUUUCCAAAUCGGUGCAGCGAUCGCCUUCGUCGCCACCAAGUUCUCAGGAUUCUUUUUGCCGCCCGCCGGAUGAGGACCGGCGGUCAGAACCGUGAAAGUACAGGGGCGGGGCUCCUGGUGGUUCGCUCGCUCGACCAGUCGACGGCAAGCUCCCACGCGCCGACCCUUGCUUGAUCAAGCUGCUGCGCCAACCUCAACCCCCGCGAGGACGCGUUCCGCGGCUGGUUCUACGGGGACGGGGUGCCGGCGCUGGUGCAGGGGCGCCGGCUGUCCAGAGUCCGCGGGCGCGCCGUGGUGGUGGUCGGCUACGCCUGCCACCUGCGCGUCCCGUUGUUCGCGACGCUGCCGCGGUGGCUCCAUUACGAUCAGCUGAGUUCCCUUGCUCUCUUUCGGUCUAUCUGCUGUCCUUGCCAUUCUGGUGAUGACGGUCUGCCCGUCGUUGGUUGCAGUCACCGGAAUCCUCUUGACGGUGGAGCUGGUCUUCUUGGAAGUGUGCGGUUCUGCAUCAGCAAAGCCGGUGACAUAGAUCCAGCCCCAGCGUGAGGACAGGCAAGCGCCUUCAUCUAUCGAUCAGCAUAAGAAUAAUCACUGACUGCUGCUUUCGUUUUUCUGUCUAGUUCAUGCGGCAAUGAUAACGGCCCAUGCCUCCAAACAGGGCCUUUGUGAGCAAAGCCCAACCAAGGCCCUUUUUAAAUUUUAUUGGAGCAAGCCCAAACAAGCCUAGAUCCAGUAUUACUUUCGUUAGGAAAAAAAAAAAUCCAGUCAGUAAUUCCGAGCACCGACCGACCGACGUCAGGACCAGGUGCUUGUGCGAGGAACCUUCAAAUCCGAGCAGGGCAAGCCACAUGCGGCAGACCCAUGCAACAUCAUGCUGCUCCAUCCAGCUGGGACGCCGGUACGGGACAGUACGUCCACGUCACGGUCACUGGCACCAACAGCUAAGCUGAUGGUCGGGGACUCGGGGUGGAUGGAUGAGGAGUCGAUGAACUGCAACUGAUGACGGGGCAGCAGGCAGGCAGGAAGGCUCGGGACUUGAAUUGAACAGGGAGGAACCGGGCCCGGCCGUACCGCGCACAGGUGCCCUGUCCCCAUCUCAGAUUCCCACAGGUUACGACCAAGCGCAGUGGAAACCAAAAGCGUUUCUGAGCAUGUGAGUUCUUGGCGCCAGCGGCUGUAAUCGUAUCCGAUCCGAAUCUGACGCAUCCAAAUCUGAAAAACCAGGCACGGUCAAUCAUUCCGGAAUCAUUUCUUGUGCUCACUUGCAGGGAGUCUCUGACAGUCUCCGGCAUGUCAAAAUUGCAUGGCACAGCAAAGCACCAGUGGCAAAAAGAAUCGAGAAGAGAGCUGAAGUUCAGGUAAUCAGGUUCGGAGACCUGAGUCUGAAUGAAUGGAUAAAAAGGACGGGCUGACAGGCAGGAAGGGCCAUGGAUCGCUCGGACAACGGACACGCACAGCUCACGUUUCGCCAUUGUCAGGGGGACGGGACGGAACGGAGCUGAUCCGUGAAUGAUUGACAUGGACGGACCCGCCCACAGUUGCAAUAAUGCUGAUGCGCUCCCGUAUUAAAAAGAUCCUGACAGGCGAAAGCGCGCGACGCCGGUGCUGUUGCUAGGAUCCACGCCAUGUUCGCGGUCGCGGCGGCGACCCGCUUCACGUGGCCGGCCGUUCGAUCGCCUGGCCGCGGUUGACCGGAGCGUUGAGCCGGUCGCGGGUGGUUGGCUGCUGCCUCGUCGCACUCGCAUCCUCCGGUUGGUACUUACCAUAGAUUACGCCAUGAAAUACGACGUGCGUAGUAUAAUCGAGUCUCUCUCGCUGAUGUAGGAGUAAACGUGGCGGCGGAGUCGUCGGUGCUUGCAGGGAUCGGGCGAGCAAUGGGGAAGGCGGGGAGGUGGCUCAAGAGCUUCCUGUCCGGGAAGAAGGACAGGCCGCACGCCGACGCGAUGGCCAUGGCGGCGGCGGCGCCUCCUGCUUCGGGGGCGCCCAAGGACAAGAGGUGGAGCUUCAGGCGGGCGGCGCAGGAAGGGAGGGCUGCCGAGGCGACGCCGGCGGCGGGGCGCGGCGGGACGGACGACGGGCUCGGUCUGUCGGCGGCGGACAUCGAGUUCGACCAGAAGAAGCACGCCGUGGCGGUUGCGGUGGCGACCGCGGCGGCCGCCGACGCCGCGGUGGCUGCGGCGCACGCGGCGGCGGCGGUGGCGCGCCUGUCCUCUCGCAGGGCGAACUUGCCGCCGGCGAGCCUCGCCGAGGACGCGGCGGCGGUCAGGAUCCAGGCCACCUUCAGAGGAUACCUGGUACACACACACACACACACCUGUGCCUCGCAACUCGAGUUUGUUUUGGAUAAUGUAGGCAUGUAGCACGACCGUAUCGAUUCAGUUCGUCUUGCGUGGCAGGCGAGGACUGCGCUGUGCGCGCUGAGGGGCAUUGUGAAGCUGCAGGCUCUGGUGCGAGGCCAGCUGUUGAGGAAGCAGGCGAACGCCACGCUCCGCUGCAUGCAGGCCCUGCUCACGGCGCAGUCCCACCUGCGGGCGCAGCGCAUGCGCGUUCUCCAGGAGCACCACCACCCGCCGCCGCCGCCGCCAAGGCCACGGCAGUCACCGCAGCACCCGAGGCACCGCCGGUCCUACGUAAGUUGCAUUGGGUUCACCCGCAGCGCAGCACCUGCAAACUCUCGUCCCUGGCAAUGUCUAACUGCGGUGAGGAUGGAACGGGAACGCAGGAGAUGGACAGGUCCUGCGAGGAGAACGCCAAGAUCGUGGAGAUGGACAUCGGCGAGCCGGUGCGGCGUGGCGCGGCCAAGGACAGGCAGCUCCUCGUCGAGCACCACGGCCGGUGCUCCCCGGCGCCGUCGGCGAUGACGGAGCUGAGCCCGAGGGCGUACAGCGGCCACUUCGACGAGUUCUCGGUGGCGACGGCGCGGAGCAGCCCGCAGCACGCGUCGUCGUCGGCCUCCGAGGCGUGCCCGAGCUACAUGGCCAACACCGAGUCGUCCCGCGCCAAGGCGCGGUCCCAGAGCGCGCCGCGGCAGCGCACCGACGCGCUGGAGCGGCAGCCGAGCCGCAGGAAGGGGACCCCGCCGAGGGGCGCCAAGAUGCAGCGGUCCUCGUCGCUGGCCGGCGCGGCGCCACGCGGCGGCGGCGGCCAGUCGUCGCCGUGGCCGGCGGGCCUGAGGCUGGACGCGUCCAGCGCGUCGCUCAAGGAUAGCGAGUGCGGGUCCACCAGCUCCGUGCUCACCGCGGCCACCGUCUACAGCCGGACGCGGUCGCUCGUCGGGUUCGAGGUGAGAACAAAACCGCAAGAUUCUUAGUGCCCGACUGCCCGUGCAGAUCAUCAUCGUGCCAUGUAAUCCUGACAGAGUCUUGUUCCCUCUGUUCGCGCUCCAGGUGCGACGUGGCCUGUACUGAGUCCUUGUCUCUGCUGGCGUAUGCCAUGGAUGUUGGAUGGGUGGCUUCAGUUCUUCCGAUGACCCAGGAUUCCUCGUCGGGAGCUUCAAGCAAAUGUUUUGUGACCAUCUCGCAUUAGUAUCAUCGAUGUGCCAACAGAGCAACAUGGCCGGUUCAGAGCAGUACAUAGUCGCAUUCCAAACUGUAUAUUUUUGUAGCUCACUUGUGAUGUUUUGCGAGGUAUUGGGUGGUAUAAGCGGAUACCACGAUACAGAAUGUAAUAAGGUUUGAUCGCAAACCCUCGUGGAAUAUACAAUAUUGUUUAGCUGUGAACGAAGCAGGAGUUUACACUAAUGUAAUGGGGGCUUAUGAAAUGUACUGUACGAUCCAACUGCAGAAAACACGGGACAGGAUGUGCCAGGCAAUAGCUACUCAAGAAAACAGUAUACAUCACAUUUUGGCCAACCUUGACAAGGAAGAUGGGCAAGGAAACCUGAGUAACAAAGAUGCCCAAGCUUACACGAUUCAUUUCUGUCGCUUUGGUUUUUGGUGGGGCUGGUAGGAAAGCUUCAUAAAAAUGCAAUGCAACAUGAGCUGGAACAACAAAAUGACCUCACAUGAAAUGGAGGUGGUCUAAAAUAAAAUAAAAGUUAGCCUAAAUUAACUAACCAUAAGUUUAAAAUCAAAGGAUGGUACAAUACUUCAUAUUUCUCUCUAAAAAGACACAAAGAAAAAGAUUUGAAACACUAAAAGCAUAUAAAAAGGGUCUAUAAGUUUUCCAACGCUCCCUAUUUAAAGCAUACAUGUUGCGGAAAUCAUUAGAGCAAUGGUACAAUGUUACUUGAUGGUUUCGAUUUAAGAGCUCAAGAUAGACUGUGAUCUUAAUAAAGAAAAAUAAAUAAAAAGACGGGUUGCCUCCCGAAAAGCACUUUAGUUAUAGUCAUAUAGCUAAACUUCUCACCUCGAUAAUGUUCAUGCGAAGCCAUGAUUCUUUGCGCGAGAAUCCAAAGUAUCCAUGCAGCUUGGUGUCAUCUUUUGUGGUUUGCUUCUAACGUCUCUUUGUAUUCAAUGUAGCCUGCUUGGAGGUUUUUAUUUUAUUCUAAGCCUCUGAAUUUGAUCAUGUACGCUUGAUGAAAGCAUUGCCAAGCUCCUAUUCAUUGUUUUCAUCCUCAUCUUCUCUAUCUUGCUCUCAUCGCCUAGCUGCUGCCUCUUCUUCGUGGAUUUUUCUUUGCAUUUAGAACAAAAUAUAUACCAAACUAUAGAUCUAUUGAAAAGUUUAUGAAAUUACCUUUCCAACGACUGGUCAUUCAUCUAAAACGGAGUUAAAAUGAGAGAGUUAUGCCCAUUUUACUUUAGCACUGCGUGCUGUCCAGAAUUGAUUUCAGGACGCGCGACGUUUGAUGAUUCGGCCACAAUCGCCUUAAUUCUUGAUUCGUUGGAACGUAAACUUCAUGGGACUUCUAAGUAUCAAAAAUAUUAUAUGUGUUUUCUUCUGAGGUCAUGCAAAAUCUUGAUGACAACAGUAGCUUCUCGUGAAUUGAUCCGGAAAUAUUGAUGAUCUUGAUCUUAAGGUCUUUGGGGCAUUAUGUCACACACACUUUGGCUUCAAGGUUAUCACCAUUGCUGCACCAGCUAGUACCAUAAUGGCAAUGAUGCAUCUUCUCCAUAAUUCUUGCUUUACCCAAGGUGCCGGGAUCAAAAGAGGCUCGUGCGCUUUGUGUUGAUGAUCUGAGCAGUUUUCCUCUAUUAUUGCAACGCAAUUAAAAGCUCUUGACCAUCCCACUGAAGAAGAUUGGUAGUGUCAUGGUGCUACUAAUCUUGUUGUCUCCAGUCUUGAUCAACUUCAAGUUAUCGCCUUUUGUGCAGAGAGGCCCUCCAAUCAUCCCUCUUUGCCUUACAUGGUUGCUUAACAUCAUCUUCACCUUCUUUGUCGUUCUUCGCUGCUGCCUCUUCUCCAUUGAAUUCCUCUGCGUCGAGUACAUAUUAUGAACCAAACUUCUGCUCCAUUGCAAACUGCAUCAAAUUUUCUUUCCAACAAGUGGUCAUUCACCUAAAGCGGAUUCUGGAUGAAAGAGUUAUGCCCAUUUUACUCCGGCACUACGUUCUGUCCCGAGCUGAUUUCAGAACGCGAAGUGUUGAAAGAUUUCAUCAUAACUCUUUGUACGGAUCUCCAAAAUUAGUAAUUCUUGAUACGUUGGAAAGAAGACUUGAUAGAACUUCUGCAUAUUCAAUUUUCCUUUAUUGUACAUCUCUGAUCAUAGGCAGAAAAUUGAUCACAACAACAACAUUCAACCUAAGAUAUUGAUGAUCCAAUUGCAACUCUUUGGGCAUGACCCAACACCUAUUACAUGAACAAACAGACCUCCAAGAAACAUUACUUUUAAAAAAUUCAUUGACAUAGCGGCAUACCUUGUUUAUCAUCAUUUGUAUUAUCUUCAUCGGUGUGGACUCGAUAGCAGAUGUUGGGCCACUAACAAAGUUAGCACCUACUGCUAAAUAGUUGAGCUUGAUAUUGUUAUCAUCUUAUCGGAGUGAGUCGAGACUUGAUGAAGUUCAUGUUCGAUCAUCUGGCUGUAACAAUCUAGAAAAUUAAACCAUGAUUAAUCUUAAGUAAAGUUAUUAGAGCCUAAGGGAACAAGUGGCAAUUGUGAAACCAAGUAAAAAGAUACUUGUGCCCCUCACAAGCUAAACCGCUGUUUAAAAUGUAACUAAAAUUUUUUCUUAAGAACUUAAAAAUCUGUCCAACUAAGAGUUGUAGAACUCAACUUUCCCAACAAUUUUUAUUUUUAGUGUUUUGUCUGAAUCUGAGCAGAAGACCUUCAAAAACUCGAAAUUUGAAUCUAUGUCAAUUUAAGAAAAACAGUUGAAGUCCCAACUUUGGGGCUCUUUAUUUCGAAAUUUCUAAUAUAAACUCAAGUUGAACUCUAUACUAAAGUUUUAGAGCUUCGAGACCUUAACAACCUUGAAUAAGGGAGCAAGGUCGAAAUCUGCACAGAAAGCUUUCAAAACCCAGGUCAAAAUCAGCCAAAUUGGUCAACUCAGCCCAAGGCAUCUUGGCGUCAGCUUAUCUCUCAAAAGUUGAACAGAAUAUCAGAAAAACCUUUUAUAAGAGUUUGAGAACUAAGUUUAUACAACAAUUUUAUCAAUUGGACUCUACUAAAUUCGCAUAAGAAGCUUUUCAAAAUUUGGGCUCAAGUCAGCCAAACACCUUGAAAACAGCCAAACAACUUAAUGUUCUCUAAGUCUGGAAAUCCGGCGUUCCUCCAAACUUUGAAGCUUUGUAUCUUCAAAUCUGCUGCGAAUUUGAACUUGGUUCAAUUACAAAAGUUGAACUUGGGUACGAGGACUACAACUUUUGUAAAGGGGGUUAAGGUCGCGCAGUUCAAAAAUCUGGAGUAACUGCGCUUGGAUAUCGGCCCGGCAAGAGAUCCUGCAAAUCCCUCGGCCCAGAGCGUGCCAAAGCGCGCACGCCGCGUGGCGCGGCUUCACCGGCGAAGCCGUCUCACCUGGUCUCCAGCCGCGGAGCGCCCAACACCCAGUUGCGCUUCGCGCUCGCCCUGCACGCCCUGCCCGCUGCCCUGCCGAGCGGAUGCCCUGCUCAGCACCGCCGCCUCCGCUAACCGCCGCUCCGACCGUGACAACUCCUCCCCGCCUUGCCAGUGACGCGUCCAAAGCCGGUUUUUGCCGCGCACGCUCACUUUGCUUCACCCGCACCUACCGCCUCGCCUGCAGUGUUCUCGCCUGCCGCGCCACUCUACCUCCUCUGUCCACCAAUGGCGCCGCCGCCAUUAAUGGUUGCCGCAAUGCCCCGACUCCCUUUGGUCCCGUCCGCUAGCGCUGCUGCCUCCGCCUCGCUCGCCGCUCCGCCCCGACCCUAUAAAGGGAGGCCCAACACCGCCUGUGCCCCCUUCCCCGCUCGCCCUCGAACCUCGCCGCGCUUCCCUGCUCUCACCCUCAGCUCCGCCGCACACCCUCUUCGUGGAGCUUCCCCUUCCGCACUGCCCCGCACCUCGUCGACACCACCACCAGCUUCGCCUCCCACUCGCGCAGCUCUAGAGCCCGUUCGUUGCCCGCUAAGAGUGCCGCCGCCGCCGAACACUGUCGCUCGACGCCAUCCCCAUUGCUCGCCGUCCACCGUCGUGUUCCGCUCCCGCCGGACCUCCCAGACGCCCGCAACUGCAUCAAAUCGGUCAUAGGUGAGCCACUGCUCCUCCCCGGCCUCAUUCCGCCCCAAGCCUGCCGGCGCUUCGCCAGGAUUUUGCCCGCCUACCGCCGUGCACCGCCUGGGGACCCGAUUGUGAUCGAAAGAAUCGAAUAAGGGGCUUUAGUGCAAAAACUAGGGACCCCUACGCAAAUAAAGUAUAGAUGCGAGGGCUAGAUCGCAAGUUUACCUCAUUUUUUGUUUUAUAAUCGACAGAAAAUAUGUUUAACUUUGGAAAUUCACCAGAACUCAUAGAAAAUUCAGAAAAAUGUCAAACAUAUUUCGCUAGACUCAGUAUAAACUAAUAAAAAUACUUUUGACACAUGUCUCUGCUAGGAUUAAUGUUAUAUAUUUUAAUCCUUAUUUAAGCCAUUUACAUCAUCAUAAAUUGCAGAAAAAUCCUAAAUUAGUAAAUCUAACUCUCAAGUGUUUGUUUUAGAGAAUGGAAGCUUAUAAAAAUGAUGUGGAGCCUAGCGCAGAUGUUUAAAUCUCUAUUUUAGUUUUAUCAUGGAAAUCUAAGGUUUCUUUUAUCUUUUUGCACAAUAAUUAAACCAGAGAUGAUAAAAAUGUGAAACCAAUUGCAAUAAGUUAGUGGUGUAGUGUAGUUUGUAGGAAAAAUAUGGAACCUGAUAAAAAAUAGAAAGAAAAAUCACUUUCCUUUUUAGGGAAUAAUAAAUAGGGUAAAUGUAUGAAAAAAGAUGCCCUUCACUAAAAAUUAUGACAAAUUCACCAAAGGCUCUGUAUCACCCCUAUAACUCACCAUUAAAAUUUCAUGCCAGUUUCAUUAUGGUUUCUGUUUUAAAAAUGUUUAAGUAUAUGCUACCUUAGGGUAAUAAAGUAAUUCUAAUUCUUUUCAUGCACCUCCAAUGGAUCUCAAAUUUAUGCAGUAGCUUAUCUAUGACAAAGUUAAGUUUCUAUCAAAUUUGUGGCUUCAUAGCUUGCUGUUUGAAGAUGGAAAUAAAAUUUGGAAGAUGAACCUAGCUAAGUGAAAGAAAGAAACCUUGAAUAAUGAUGAAGGUAAUUUUUGGAAGAGGUAGAAAAGAACAUUCAAAAAUAGGGUAACUUUCUGAUCUAAAGUUUAAUAAAGUUAAGUUGUAUAUAUGUACACAAUCACCAUCAAAUCAACUCCAGGUUUUGUACCAUAACCCACCUUACGUUAUGCAGAUAAAGAAGGUGUAGAACCUUGUUUAGAUGAAUGUGGUCAUAAUGUAACUUCUACUUCAGUGCUAAUUCAUGUUUUACAUCCUAUGAGAAAGCUUGGAAAUUAAACUUGAUGCAUUUGCAUUUCGUGUAGAGCUGAACCUCACUGACAGGACAUAUGAGCUUCACCCGACGCCAGAAGAAGGAGCCGUAGCAGCCAGUUGGAGUCGAGCCCGUACCGGAGCAAGCUGAGGACCGGUUCGCUAACUCCCCGUGUGAAGGCAAACCCCGAAGCAUAAAUUCCUAUCUUUAACUACUUGCAAUAUAUUUGGUUGCUUGAUUGUGCAUUUACAUUUUUAGAAUUGAUUGAAACCGUAGAUGCAUGAAUUAGUGCCCUUUGAUCUGAACACUAGUAUGAUAGGCCGAGUAGUUGCAAUGCUUAAUAGGACUCGGUAAAAGUUGAGUGAUUGACUAUCACUCGCGAGUUAUAGGAGUUGUUUGCGUUCAUUUUGUUAUAACUAUAAGGACGAUGGAUGGGGCUGGGCUCUGUGAAUUAUUUUGGUGGUCGGUGGAUUGCCCCGUCUGUCUACAUGAAACUAGACUAAGGUCGAGAUGUGAUAGUGUUCGUGAUCAAGUGUUAAAAGUACUAAUCUCAUACCUAGUAUGGGAUGGGGAAGCCUAGCACCUGAUUGAACUGGAACGUGAGCGGAUCAUUCCAUUGUCUCUGGAACGGAGUUCCCUUGCGGCCGCAUGUGAUGACAAGUGCGGUCAUGGAACGGCAGAGGCUGGGUCUAUGGAGCCUUGUACCAAGGGAAGUGGGCCCGACACAGGUCUGGGAAUUGAUAGGGACGGCUGACAAAUGAAGCGACCCUUCGCAGUGCGCGGAUGUCGUGGGAUUAGGUUCGCCAUGCAUGGUUAAGAAAUUCGAAUCGAUUUGUCUGCCUCUCACAGUUUGGAACUGCUUGAUUGCUAUGCUACACUGAGUAAGAAUGAAAGAUGAUGAUGAUGUAAUAUGGUUACCUAUGCUAAUUGCUUAAAAAACUAUGCUUGCUUAGUAUAGCUGCUAACUUAGAUUGGUAAUUGAACAUAGAACUUGUGGCUAAAAUAUUGAAAGUAAGGACUUACACUAGUCGCUUUUGGCAAAAACAAACCCCUCUAGCCAAAAAGCUUGCAUGUCUAGGUGUUGGUGGAGUAGUACCACUGGUCGGUUAAGUCUUGUUGAGCGUAGUCGCUUAGCCUUGUUGUGGCACAUCUUUUCAGGUGAUGUUGAUGCCUCUGAGCUUGCUGCAAGUGGCACUUGGCCUCCCCAACUUCCUUCUGGUUGGACAAUUGAGUGGGAUCCCUCCUCGGACGGCGAGGAUCGGGAUCAUUGAUGUCAUGAUCGACUUCGUCAUGAUAUCCUGCAACGAAGUUUAACUUCUGCUCAGUUAUUUCGGUUAUUUGAGAACUCUGCAAACUUUGCUUGAAUUUCGAACUUAAGGUUGUAAUAAUUUAAUGCACUUGUUUAAUUGAGAUGGACUGUUGUAAUCUCUGUAACCACUCGCCUUCGUGCGAGUCUUGCUUUCUCGAUCUUGAGGUAAGUGGUUUAUCGAAUGAAAUCCGAUGGACGACCAAGUUGACUUGUUUAAAGUACAUGAUCGCGUGUUAAGUGACUUAAGUGUGCUUUAGCCAAGUUAAUUUGGGCGGUUCCGCCACACUAGCAUUAAGUAUUUACCUGCUUUCAAGGACGCAAAUAAGAAAAAUAGGGUAUAUGCAAUAAAAAUAAUUAGAGUUAGUCCAAAAAAUUAGAUAGAUCGCCCCAGGGUUCGAGUUGCCGAUCCCCGGUAACGGCACCAGAAAAGCUUGGUGAUAGCAAUUAGCAUGCCAGUUCGUGAACCACAAGUGCAUGGAUCAUCGUAGAUUUUCCCUCAGAUUCUUCCAUCCAAGGUUUAGUAAUCCGUGGAUCGGCAGCGAACUAACUAGGGUUUUCCAUCUAAUCUAACGGAUCUAAUCCUAACGUGAAGCAUAGAUUGCAUAUGAAGAGGGUAACCUUGGUGUAAAAGUAAAUCAUGAGAACAUGUAGAUCACAUCCACAGAUAUGUAUAUGAUAAAACACCACCAAGGGUAGUAAGAGCCUAUCGUCUUCUAGAACAAGCAAGCACAACAUGCAUCUCAUCAAAGCAAUCUCAAAACUACUACCUCCGGUCAACCUCCCGAAAACCCCAACCUUACACAAGCUAGAUCCUGUCACGAUCCUCUCUAUCAGCGCAGGCUGUUUAAGGGCACGAACACAAGUGGACAGUCUAAAUAUCAUGAAGGAUCAACAUACUAGAUCUAAUCACCAUGAUUACAUAAAGCAUGCUAUGAAGUCUAACCUCGAAUUAGACUAAGGAACAAGCAUAUUCAUGAUAAGAAGAAUGCAUAAAAGGAGACAACGAGUCGCUAAUAGAGUGGAUGACAUGAAGAACAUUGCUCAUAUAAUAGAUGCAUUUAGAUCAUCACCACCAAGUACACACCAUUGAUGAUCAUAACUAGCUCUUGAACUCCACCAUGACACAACCGCGCAGGGAGGUCAUGGUGGCUAGGGUCGGCCUAAGCCAUCUCCUAGAUAACUUCGAAGACUUCCAACUGUCCUCAGCUCCCUCUGGUGGAUGUCCUCCAUUUCAUCGAGUUCUUGUGGAUGGAUGCCGGGGCUCGGUGAAUUUUUGGGGUACUUAUAGUUCGGGGAGUGCGUGGCAAAAAUUGGAAGGCGAGAGGAGUAAGGAAAGCCUCUGGUCGAUCGGCCUAGGGGGUCCAGGCCAAUCGGCUUGGCCCUUCCUUGUGGCCUCUCGCGCCCUCCUUCGUCGCCAAAUCUUCUUUGAUGAUAUGGAAACUUACUUUUACUUGCAUGCGGGAAUCGCACGUUGAUAGCCUCGGGAUAAGGAUGGAUUUUGAUAUCUUUCCAAAGUCUUUUUUGCUUCCAUCUUUGAUCCUAAAGUGAACUUGUCAUAUCUUGUGAAACUUAAAUGUAUGAAAACACUACUUAAAUAGUACUAAAAGUGUAUCAAUAACGAGCGUCAACAUACCUCCAUAUCAAAUAUUUAUCUUUAAACUAAUAAAUGCCAAACAUUUUGAUAUGGAGAUAGUAUACAUGAGGGCAGCAUCAAUAGAGAGAGGAUUACAUGCAUAAAACUGACAACCAUUAGCAAGAACAGGGAGAGCGAAUCUCCGCACCGAGAAUAAGACCAAGAAACCAUGUCGGGAGGUCAUCACGCCAUUCCUAAAUACAGAGUAGAACAUUUAUUUGAAAUUCUGUGGACUAAGACCUCUGACUAGACCCCUUUUUGUCUUGGCAAUGCUAGUACAUUUAUUUCGCAGAGGAUUACUUUUAUUAUUAUUAUUAUCAUCUUAUUAUCUAGUUUGAUCAGGAAGGUACUGAUAAAUUUGUUAAUUGUCUGCAGUACGUGGGUGAAUAUGGAGAUUCAUCUUUGUUGAUGAAAGCUGAGAUGUAUCACAUGAAUCUUUUUAAAUACAAGAAGUUCUUUGCCAAUGUCACUAAUGAAAAGAAGACCAGUUGAUGAUCUUAUGUUAUACAGUCAGAUACUAAAGGUGAAAAACUGGGGAUACUCAGCCCUUACAGGAGAACAUAUUCUAACAAUACUAAUUGCCCAGUUGAUGAGAUUGAUGUAAUUGAGUUGAUGAGUCUACGGCCACAACAUGCCAAGCCGAAGUUGCGGCGGCACCACACUCUAUGGCAGAAAAAAUUUGGCGCCACAAUCUCCCACACUCUGCGGCUAGAGAAGUGUUGUUACAGCACUGAUUUCUUGUGGCGAGCCAAAGGUUUGUAACAAACCAAACAACUACUUCAAUUAAUGUGGCGUCGCCAGUACUGUGCUGUGGCUAGUUGUAGCGUACAACCAAACAGUCUCUGAGAUUACUUCUAAAUAUACUCCAACAUAAUCUAUAGAGGUAUGGAAUAUGUUUUCCAUCUGAUGUUUACCAAGUUAACUUUAAGAUUUUAAUUUUUAUUUAUUCUCUUAAAAAUUGUGUUAAAUAUGUUGUUGGUGUAUGAACAUAAAAAUCACUAGGUGGAUAGGCACGCUAUGCUGUGUUGCCCUUAAAUCUAUUAUUUAUAGUAUAUGUUAUGAGAAAGAGUUGUUUAAUCCUAUUUAGAUAGUAUCAGAUAGAAAAUAAAAGGUAGAUGAACAUGGGUUUGGUACUUAUCUAAUUUGUAUUGGGAACGGGAAGUAAAAUAGCUAGGUCAGUUAUAAAAUUUAUUAGGGGGAAUAUAAAUAGUUCUAAGAUUAUAAUAGUUGAAACAUGAAAUUUGUUUGUGGAAUUAGUAGUUUGAUAACAAAAGAGGUAAAUGUUACACAUCGUGAUGAAAUGUGCAGGAGGAAGUGAAAACAAAUAAAGAAACAUUGUUGAGGAUGUAAUGCGUAACAAUACAUGAACUGCGGGAGAGGAAAUGGAAGCAAAUGAACUAGUGAGAGAAUAUCAGGAUCUAAUGUAAUGUGCUGGAGUAUAUGUUUAGUGGUAUAUAUGGAUUGAUUUAACUAUUGAGGGGAAAGAUCUUUGGAAGUCACAGAAUAAUUGAGGAAGACAUGUACACUCAACGGGGAGAUAAUUUUUUUUGUAGGGAGGUGCGUUCGGUGAAAGAAAUAAAACAAAAAACCAACCUUGCUAUUGGUAGAGACUGCAAGUAUUGCGAGUCACCGUAGGUUGCGCAAGCUCAGCGAGCAGGCUGUAAGUGAUAUCGCUGGCAUGCCAUGGACGGCAGGACGGGUGGCUUCAGUUCUGAUGAUGAUCCAGGAUUCCUUGCCGGGAGCUUCAAGCAAAUGCUUGUGACUAGUUUGCAAUUAAUCUCAUUGAUGUGACAACAGAACAACAUGGCCGGUUCAGAGCAGUACAAACAUGGAUCCUUAGGGGCUGUUUGGAUAUGAGGUGCUAAACUUUAACAGUGUCACAUCGGAUGUUCGGAUGCUAAUUAGGAGGACUAAAUAUGAGCUAAUUAUAAAACUAAUUGCAGAACCUUGUGCUAAUUCGCGAGACGAAUCUAUUAAGCCUAAUUAAUCCAUCAUUAGCAAAUGGUUACUGUAGCAC
RNAcentral lists this long non-coding RNA (74610 nucleotides) under Setaria italica (foxtail millet). RNAcentral's name for it is "long non-coding RNA (SITA_LNC007383)". Lineage: Eukaryota; Viridiplantae; Streptophyta; Magnoliopsida; Poales; Poaceae. The record is from RNAcentral.